GAUUUGGUGCUUUUUUGCAGGCUUUCAACAGCAGAAAAGCAUCUGGAGGCUUGCAGUACUAAUCUCUUGCAUUAUAUUCUCUGUUUUGCAAUCAUUUGGUACUUUUUGUCCCAACCAAGGAUAGCUCUGUGCAAGCAGUCUCGACUGUGGAACAAGUAAAACAAAUGGUACCUGCUGAAGCUGAGAGGGCAGAUGAUAAAUUGGUGCGGAAGUUGGUCAACCAAAAGAAUCAGACAGCAAAAACUAAAAAGCCCAUGAAGCCUGCUACUGAAGCGAUCUCAGCACCUGUUUCUAGGAGGGGUGAGAUUGAAGCGACUGAAGAAAAGGAGCAUGAGCAAACAAAGAAGGAAGAGGAGUUGGCCAGGAAGGUAGAGGAAUUGAGAAGUGAAGAAGAAGCAGCCAUGUUGAAGGAGCAAAGUCUGUCGGAGGAGAAAGCCAACGUUAAGGAGGCACUGGAAAGGAAACAAGGAACUGCAGAAAAGGCCAAUUUCUCUGUGAGUGCUGCCACCUUUUCAUAAUAAUGGAUGUUAAAAGCAGUCUAACUCUACAUGGCGUUUAUUUUCCCCAGCCAUGGAUUGGAAUCUGCCAGUCUAACUCUCAUAAGAAAGAAAAUUUUCCAUCCUCGUAUGGAUUAUUGGAGAAGAUUUUAACAUGGAGUUCACUAGAGAGUUUCAAACACCCACUCAAAAAGGACAUUUUAGAGAACUUAUUGAAAAGUUACAUCAGAGUACAUAAAUUUUUAGAUAUUUUUAAAAAUAUCUGAAAAAUUAAAUUAACUAAAAGUAUUUGAAAAAUAUUUGAUUGAAUUAAUAAAUAACUAGUAUUUGCAUAUGAAAAAAUAGUAAACAUAGUCAAUAAUAUUUUUUUUUUAAUAAUUAGCACAUAAUAAUCAUAAAUUAUUUUAUGGCAAGACCUCAUAUUUGUUGUGGUGACUGUGUUGUCUUACCAUUCUUCUUUCAUGAUGGGCUUAAAUUUUAAUUUAAAUGUAGUAUAAAUAUAUAAUUAGAUUGAUAUUUCGUCCACUAGAAUUGAUUGGGGCUGAAUUUGAACCCUGGUUCGAGUCAUACUCCCAUCCAAUCCAAACUUGUGGUUGGGCUUGAAUUUCUUGGCCCAACCAGCGAAAUCAUUGACCAACGGCCCUUAGUUUGGGCUGGGCUUGAUGGUCCUCAGGUUAUGCAGGCUUAAUACUGAUUGGGUUUGGGCUUCCAUGCAGUUGUACUUGGAUUCUAUGUUUCCUAAUAUUAACACUAAAUUAGGUUUCAUUUAUAAUUAAAUAUAAUUAGUUUGAGACUAACUCCAAUCUUUAGUUAAACCAACUAAGUUUUAUGCAAAGGUUUAUAUUCCUAAUACCAUUGAAAAACUAAAUUUAUGUGGAAGUUUGACUAAGUGAUACCGACAUUAAAUUAUUAAGAUAAAUUGAAAAAAAAAAAAUCAUGCUCGUAUGUCCUGUUGUUUGUCAUAAGAAAAUUUCUUUUCAGAUUUUUUUUUUCUUUUAAUAUAUCUUUACUUUUUUAAUAACAAUCCAUAGGAUUGUUCCCAAACAUAUAUCAUAUAAAUAUAUCUUUUUUGGAUUUUUAAGAAUGUUGUCAAACAAACUCAUAAUACCAUUCUUUCUUAACAAUUACCAAUCCAUAUGACGAAUUUAUUACUUUCAAUAACUGACAUCAUCUAAUCAAAAUUAUAAUUAUAAUUAUAAUUAUAAUUAUAAUUAAGUAUUAUAUUAAAAGAGUGUUUGAUAAAUCAAUUUAAUAACUUAAAUUAAUUUAAUAACUUAAUUUAAAUUAUUAAAAUAAUUUGAUGUCACAAUUUAAAGUUAAAAAUGACUUAAUUUAUUUUUAUUUAAAUUUAAAAUUAUGUUUACAAAAAAGGUUUAAAAUUCAUAUCAAUUAAGAGAUUAAGUCAUUGAAUUACUUUAAGUCAUUAAAUUGAUCUACCAAUUAAAGUUCACCUCCUACAUAUCAUGAAAAUUAAAAAUUAAUUACAACAUCAAGAAUCUUUAGUUCCUAAUCGAUAUAAUAUUUAAUCCUUGGUUGUAAAUUUCUUUACAUAUGUAGAUAUAUUUUUAUAUUGCAAGUGGGUUGCCGACUUUUCAUUUUAUACUAGUUUUGAAAAUAAGAUUGUAGUUUUUAUUUUGUCCAAAUCUAAUUUGGAGGGAGAAUCUUUUAUAUUCAAAUAGGAAAAAUUUAAGUUUAAUAGUCCCACCUUAUAAAGGCAAAUAUCUUGGACCCUACAUGGGUGCCUCUUACAUGCACAAGGACAAAGACUUUUCAAUUUCUUUCUAGAUUUUUUUUUUCUUUUUGUUCUUUUCAAUUCUAGAUAUUUUAAUAUAUCUUUACUUUUUCAAAAACAAUCCCAAACAUUUUUUAAGAUUGAUUUUUAAGAAUGUUAUCAAACAAACUCAUAAUAGCAUUUUUUUCUUUACAAUUACCAAUUCAUAUGAUGAAUUUAUUACUUUCAAUAACCGACAUCAUCUAAUCAAAAUUAUAAUUAAGUAUCAUAUUAAAAGAGUGUUUAAUAAAUCAAAUUUAAUAACUUAAAGUGAUUUAAUAACUUAAUUUAAAUUAUUAAAAUAACUUGAUGUCACAAUUUAAAGUUAAAAAUAACUUAAUUUAUUUUUGUUUAAAUUUAAAACUAUGUUUACAAAAAAAGGUUUAAAAUUCCUAUCAAUUAAGAAAUUAAGUCAUUAAAUUACUUUAAGUCAUUAAAUUGAUCUACCAAUUAAACACCCUUUAAGAUAUUAUAUAAAGCUCACCUCCUACAUAUCAUGAAAAUUAAAAAUUAAUUACAACAUCAAGAAUCUUUAGUUCCUAAUCAAUAUAAUAUUUAAUCCUUGGUUGUAAAUUUCUUUACAUAUGUAGAUAUAUUUUUAUAUUGCAAGUGGGUUGCCGACUUUUCAUUUUAUACUAGUUUUGAAAAUAAGAUUGUAGUUUUUAUUUUGUCCAAAUCUAAUUUGGAGGGAGAAUCUUUUAUAUUCAAAUAGGAAAAAUUUAAGUUUAAUAGUCCCACCUUAUAAAGGCAAAUAUCUUGGACCCUACAUGAGUGCCUCUUACAUGCAUAAGGACAAAGACUUUUUGAAAGCCUCCCCCAUUCAUAUGGAUGCCAUCAUUCAUCGAAGUUGAAACACGAAACCCAAACAAAAUAUUUGAGCAAAAGCAACUUCAAUAUUUUUUUCAUAACUAUAGCUGAGAAUCUCAAUAUUAUUAAAUAGUGACAAAAUUAAUUUCAAUAUUUUUUUUCUCUUAUUUUUUCCUCCUUGUGGUUAUAUUUUCAAAUAGAAAGUAUUAAAUAUUUAAAAAAUAAAAAAAUCAUAAAAAAUAAUUUUUCAUAUUUAAUUAUUCUAUGAAAAAUAUAAAGUAAAAUAAAAUAUAAUUAAAAUUAGUUAAAAAUUUAUAUUUUUAUGAAAUUAUUUAAAUUAUUUAUAAAAAUUUAAAAUAAGUGACAUGAGUUUGAAAUAGUAUAUAUGUUGACUUUAAUUAUAUUUAGUUAAAGUUUUCUAUCAUGCCUAAGUUUAAUUAGUUCUACUUAUAUGAAAUUUAUACAUCGAAAUGAAAGUAAGCAUAUAUUUAAGUGGCCCAUCAAAUUUGAAACUAGUCUAUUGUAAUUACAUUCAUAUCUAUAUCAUUUAUAUUAUACAUAACUUGAGUAUAUUAAAAAUUGUACAAAAGAUCCAAAUCACAAGAAAAUUUAUAUAAAUUCUCUUAAGGGUUUAGGAUUAGACACUGUUAGCCAUUGUCUUCUAAAAAACUUUCAUCGCUUUCUCUCUCAAGAGGUUUGUAGCCACUUUACACAAAUGCCAAGACUCAAAGGAAUGAUCUAGUGAAAAUGAUGAGGUGAUUGAGAUCCUCUUCAUAAACUAGAGUUUGAUAUGGGAACAUUCAUAUUGAAGGUAAAAACUUUUAUCAACACCUAGACUUACUAUUAUAUUCCGUUAUAAUUAACCCCAAUAAUCCUAGGUUGUUAGAGAGCAUACACCUAUGAUCCAAGGGUUUUCCCAACAAAGAUAUCAAUAAAUCUUUCUAUUCCAUUGAUGGUAUCUUGAAUUCUUUCAAAUUAAUCACUUCAUUGUAAUCGUUAUUCACUUCAUUGUGAUUUGUCAAAUAAUAAUUCAUUUAUGCAUCAUGGUUGUGCCUUGAGGUAAGGCUUUAGAGGCAUAAGCCUCAAAAGCCUCUUAAAAUUGGUUCUACUUAUGCCUCUAUAGCCUCUUAAAAUUGGUUUUACAUUUCUUGCAUGAUGAAUGCAAGUUCCAAAUUUUGAUGACUUGGUAAUGUUGGAGUAAUUGGGUUGAAAGGAGUUAAACACAAACAAUUAUUAAAGAAGAUAAAAAUUUGGAAGAAUUAAAAUUUUAUUGUAUUCUACCACUCUCUUUUUUAUUCAAAUAUUACAUAACCUUUUAUUUAUAGAUGCUCACACUUAACUAAAAAUGAUAUAAUUAAAAGUAAAUUAUCAUUUGAUUGCAAUGGAUUCAAUAGAAUAUGGUGGAUAUGCUAAAUUUUUGUCUGUCAAUAAAAUUUGAUUUGAGUGAAUAUAAUUAGAGUAAAAUAGUCUUUUUUAACUGUCACUUUUACAAUAAAAAGUGUUUUAUUUAAAUAAAUAUUUAAUAAAAAUUUAAAAAAAAUUUAAAAAAAUAAUUAUAGUGUUUUCUAAGAAACAUUUGAUAAAUAAUUAUUAUAAAAACACUUCCUCGAAAAUACUUCAAAGUUAGUUGGAUGGUAAGUUAUACAUCAAGAUCUUAAUGAUGGUCCAUGCAACCAUCACCAUUGAUUGUUUUCGAAAACACAACUUCAAUUUAAAUAAUAUUUUAAGGCAACUCCUAGUUAUCAUAUUUUACAAGAUAUUUUUUAAAAUUAUUGUUCUUUUUCUUUCAAAAUCCCAAGAGAGAGGUCACCAAUAUCAAAAUAAUGUGACCCAUCUCUAUACUAUUAUCUCCAUUAUUUGGACUAUAUCAUAAUUUCCUUAUCGACAACAUGGUAGCCACGAUUAAAUACCUACAACUUUGAAAACAAGAUCUCAAAACUAUGCUUAUUUGAUUAUAAGGCUUAAUUAUUAUAGUUUAUCAUUUCCUAGCAUAGUUCUUAGCAUCUAGGUAUUUGUUCUAUAAUAAUUUUUCUCAUUUUUCAAGCUUGCAUUUUGUUUAGAAUUUUUUUGAGUUGUUUACAAUCAUUUUGAAAAUGUCAACUCAUAAUUGUAUACAUUUUAGUUCUUGAAGGACUAAAAUCACUAAACAUCAUGGUAAUACUAUUUAAGGUAAUUUGCUUUAAAUGAGAAUGAACUUAUAUACAACUUACGAUUUAAGGUAAUAAUAGAGAUCCAAUUUAAAAAUACAUAAGUUUUCAAUUAAAUAUUAGUAUAUUUAUGUUUCCCUCUUAUUUUUAAUCCUAAAACACAUUAAAUGUAUGUUCUUGAAUUCCUCCAUGUUUUUGAUGUAAUGCGAUUUGAUAUAAUGAUAAAUCAACUAUUAUGAUUUAAUAAUAUGGAGCUUUGACUUUUGACAUUUAAGUAACACUGUCAAUGAAAGCUCCAUUAUUUUUGCUUCAUGGAAAAACAAAUGAUGUGAUUGAAUUACACUUCAAUUAUGUUUGAUUCUUUGAAAAUACUCAAGAAAAAUAAAUAUUUUUAAAAAUAAUUUUCUCAUAUUUGAUUUUGUUAGCCCAAGGGUUCUCCUAAUUGGGUUUUGAUGAUAACAAACCAUGGUUAAGUGACUAAUUGGUUUAAUGAUUAAGAACCUCAGGUAUAAACUCGAAAAUUCAUCAAAUGACCAAAUGGAUACAAGAUCGAGACGCUUGGAAGACUUGUGAUCAUAGGAAAUUAAUGUAAGAUGAAUGCAUAAGUGCACUUAGGAUUUUCACACGUUUCAUGCAUUUUAGAAAACUCGGUUUAGUCUUUAAAACGUCGAUUUCAUUAAAACCCGAGUUUUUAACUAAUGUACCUUAGGAAAAUUGUUUUAUAAUUGGCUUAAUAAUUUUCCUAAAGACAUUGCCUAAGUGUUAGAAAAGAAAGGAAUAAAAAAAAAUAUAGGUUUUUGGGGCCAAAAAGGCUUAACCAGUCGAGGUUAUGGCCAACCGGCUCAACCGCUUGAGGAACCGGUCGACCGGUUGACCUCGUUCGGUCGAGGAUGCACCAAAACCUUCUCUCUUUCCCAGUGGCCUUCUCUCGUUCGGUUGACCGCUUGAGGUGAUUUUCUUACCGGUCGAGGUCCGGUUGAGGCAACGGUAAUCUGUCAUGCAUUAUAUGCUCCAAUGGCUAGUGAACCGAUCGACCCUUAGCUCGACCAGACGAGGUUACCUUUUGCUAUUUUGGACUCCCGAGCUUAGAAACCUAUAAAUUGAGAGCUCUAAUUCUUUUAUUGACAAGAGAACACUUGCAUUCAAUAGCCUACCUACCUGUUCUUGAUCAAAAAGCUCUCAUUUAUUUCAUAGUGCAUUAAAUCACCACUUGCAUAUCCUUUAGUGCACUCUUGUGUGUCAUCCUAGCUUUAUCUUGUAUUUGAGCUAUCCUUAAGUUAGGUUGAGGGAUUAUAUCUAGUAAAAAUCUGAGUGUUAAAGCCUUUAAGAGGGUUGAAUCUUGAAGUGGUUGUGGAAGAGCCCAUUGGAGCCGGAAUCCAAGUGUAAGAAGAUUGGAAGCUUAGUUGAAGCUUUAAGUUAGUGGAACCCUCACUCAGUUAGGAGGUUGAGGAGAGUGGAUGUAGGCAAGGAAGUUCUGAACCAUUAUAAACCCGAGUUUGAAUUCUCUAAACUCUAUCUCUUUACUUUGCUUAUAUUGUGUUUGAAUUUUUUGUGAUUAAAAAUAUUUUAAAAACCCAAUUCACCCCCCCCCCCCCCCCCCCNNNNNNNNNNNNNNNNNNNNNNNNNNNNNNNNNNNNNNNNNNNNNNNNNNNNNNNNNNNNNNNNNNNNNNNNNNNNNNNNNNNNNNNNNNNNNNNNNNNNCAUAUAUUAAAUCAUAAUAGUUGAUUAUCAUUAUAUCAAAUCGCAUUACAUCAAAAACAUGGAGGAAUCCAAGAACAUACAUUUAAUGUGUCCCCCCCCCCCCCCCCCCUUUUGGGUGUUUUUCUUAACUAAGCAUGGCCUUUGUUUUCUCAAUUGGCAUCAGAGCUAGACCUCUUGUGUUUUAAAAGACUUAAUCGUCUAAGAGGAAAUGACUAUUCCAUCAAGCUCAUCCUCAGUUAAAAAUUUUUCAAAACAUAAAGCUCCAUUCUUUACGAGAACCGACUAUCCCUAUUGGAAAACCAGAAUGACUUGGUAUUUGCAAUCUACUGAUUUAGAUGUAUGGGAUGUCAUUGAAGAUGGCCCAACUUUUCCUACUAAACUAGUUGAUGGAGUUUUGGUUCCAAAACCCAAGCAAGAAUGGAAUGAGCUUGAUAGAAGAAACUUUCAAUUAAAUGCUAAAGUCGUUUUUACUUUGCAAUGUGCUAUGGAUAGAAAUGAAUAUAAUAGAAUAUGUCAAUGCAAAUCAGCUAAAAAAAUUUGGAGGUUGCUUGAAAUAACUCAUGAAGGAACUAAUCAAGUGAAAGAGUCAAACAUCAAUUUACUUGUUCAUAACUAUGAAUUGUUUUCAAUGAAAGAAACUGAGACUAUUGUUGAGAUGAUUACUAGGUUCAGCGACAUUGUCAAUGGUCUUGAAGUUUUGGGAAAAACCUACAAGGAAUCCGAGAAGGUGAUGAAGAUAUUGAGGUCUCUCCCAUCAAAGUGGCAUACCAAGGUCACCGCAAUUCAAGAAGCAAAAGACUUGACUAAGCUACCUAUGGAAGAGCUCAUAGGGUCAUUAAUGACAUAUGAGAUCAAUUUGACAAAGAAGCUACAAGAGGGUGAAGACAAAAAGAAGAAUAACAUAGCCCUUAAAGCUACAACCAAGGAAGAAGAAGAUGUUGAAGAAGAAAAGCCAAGUGAUGAAGAUGAUGAUUUAGCCCUUAUCACAAGAAAGCUCAACAAAUACAUAAGAGGUGAAAGGUUUAGAGGAAGGAAAUUCACCUCUAGAAGGGAUCCUUCUAAAAAAGGAAUCUUCAUCCCAUAGUGACAAGGAGAAAUGGGAAGAGAAAAGAGAUUUGACAUGCUUCAAGUGCAAAAAGCCGGGACACAUUAUAUAUGAUUGUCCUCUCUACAAGAGUAAAGCCAAGAGAAGAAUGAAGAAGGCAAUGAUGGCCACUUGGAGUGAAAGUGAAGAAUCCUCCGAAGAAGAAAAUGAGGAAGGAAGUGGAAAACAUGUGCUUCAUGGCAAUAGAUGAUCAUGAUGAGGUAAACUCUAACUUUAGUGAUGAAGAUAUGCAUGAUGUUUUUGAAGAAUUAUAUGAGGAUUUUGAAAAACUUAAUUUGAAAAAUAAUUCUCUUAAAAAGAAAAUUGAAGAACUUGAAAAGGAACUUGAAGAAGUGAAAGAAAAAUUUUCAAUUGUUGAAAUAUCUAAAACUCAUCUUGAAAAAGAAAAUGAGAUUUUGAGAAGUGAAAAUGAGAUUUUGAAAAAAAAAAAAAAUGAAUGGUUAACCUUCUCUCUUUCAAUUUUCUCUUGUGGACAAAAAUAUUUUGAAAUGAUCUUAGCUAGCCAAAAAUGUGUCUUUGACAAACAAGGGCUAGGAUUCAAAUCAUCAAAAAAUCAAAAGUAUUUAAAAACUACUUUGUAAAAGAAUCCACAAGUGCAAGUCCUUCCACCAGUUGCAACUUUUGUGGAAGAGGAGGGCACAUUAGUAGUACAUGUCCCUUAAGAAAUGGUUCUCAAAAGAAUUUAAAUGCUAAAGCUAAAAAGGUUUGGGUUGAGAAAUCCAAGGUCACUAACUCUCAAGGACCCAAAAAAAUAUGGGUGCCUAAAUCAACUUAAAUUUUAUUUUGUAGGGAUCAAAGAAGGAUAAGUGGUUCUUGGAUAGUGGAUGCUCAAGACACAUGACCGGGGAUGAAUCCAAGUUUGCUUUCCUUACAAAGAGAAAGAGAGGAUACAUUACCUUUGGAGACAAUUCAAAAGGAAGGAUCAUUGGUCAAGGCAACAUUGGUAAUGCCACAUCCUCCCUUAUUGAAAGUGUUUUAUUAGUGGAUGGUUUAAAACAUAGUCUUUUGAGCAUAAGUCAACUUUGUGACAAAGGUUUUAAAGGGAUUUUUGAAGAAUCUCAUUGCAUCAUCAAAGAUAUUCAAAAUGAUAAAACCAUCUUCAUGGGCCAUAGAUGUGACAAUGUUUAUGCAAUAAAUAUUUCAAAAUAUGAUGGUCAUGAUAGAUGCUUUUCAAGCAUGCAUGAUCAAAGUUGGUUGUGGCAUAGGAGGUUGGGACAUGCUAACAUGAACCUCAUUUCCCAACUCAACAAAGAUGAACUUGUUAGAGGCCUUCCCAAAAUAAAUUUUCAAAAAAAUAAAGUUUGUGAAGCUUGUCAAAUCGAAAAGCAAAUAAAAAACUCUUUUAAAAACAAAAAUUUCAUUUCAACAACUAGGCCUUUUGAAUUGUUGCAUAUAGAUUUAUUUGGUCCCUCUUGGACACCAAGCCUUGGAGGAAAAUCUUAUGCUUUUGUUAUUGUAGAUGACUUCUCUAAAUACACUUGGGUCUUAUUUUUAAGUCAAAAGAAUGAAGCCUUUUAUGAGUUUUCAAAGUUUUGCAACAAUGUUCAAAAUAAAAAAGGUUUUACAAUUACUUGUAUAAGAAGUGAUCAUUGGAAAGAAUGUGAAAAUAUUGAUUUUGAAGACUAUUGCAAUGAGCAUGGUAUUAACCACAACUUUUCGGCUCCUAGAACUCCUCAACAAAAUUGGGUAGUUGAAAGGAAAAAUAUAACUCUUCAAGAAAUGACUAGAACCAUGCUAAAUGAAAACAAUUUACCAAAAUACUUUUGGGCCGAAGCGGUUAACGCUUCUUGUUAUGUUUUAAAUAGAAUUUUAUUAAGGCCUAUUCUUAAGAAUCUCCCUAUGAGCUUUGGAAAAACAAGAAACCCAACAUUAGAUAUUUCAAAGUCUUUGGGUGUAAAUGCUUUAUUUUAAACACCAAAGACAAUCUUGGAAAUUUUGAUGUAAAAUCGGAUGUUGGAAUUUUACUUGGUUACUCAACUUCAAGUAAAGCCUUUAGAGUUUUUAACAAAAGAACCAUGGUUGUUGAGGAGUCCAUCCAUAUUAUCUUUGAUGAAUCUAACAAUUCUCUCCAAGAAAGACAGAGCUUUGAUGAUGAUCUAGGCUUGGAGACCUCCAUGGGAAAAUUAAAAAUUGAAGAUAGAAGGCAACAAGAAAAAGUUGUAGAGGAUCCCAAGAAAGAAGAAUCACCUUUGACACUACCUCAUCCUCAACAAGUGCAAGGUGAAUCAAGCCAAGACCUCCCUAAAGAUUGGAAGUUUGUCAUCAACCACCCACAAGAUCAAAUUAUAGGUAAUCCAUCUAGUGGGGUAAGAACUAGAUCAUCUCUUAGAAAUAUUUGCAAUAAUCUUGCUUUUAUCUCUCAAAUUGAACCUAAAAAUAUAAAAGAUGCUCUAGUUGAUGAAAAUUGGAUGAUUGUCAUGCAAGAAGAGUUAAACCAAUUUGAAAGAAGUGAAGUAUGGGAAUUAGUGCCAAGACCUCAAAAUCAGAGUGUUAUUGGAACUAGAUGGGUCUUUAAAAACAAAAUGGAUGAAAAUGGUAUAAUUAUAAGGAAUAAAGCAAGAUUGGUAGCCCAAGGUUUUAAUCAAGAAGAAGUGAUAGAUUAUGAAGAAACCUUUGCUCCCGUAGUUAGAUUGGAAGCCAUUAGGAUGCUACUUGCCUUUGCAUGUUUUAAAAACUUUGUUUUAUAUCAAAUGGAUGUGAAAAGUGCUUUCUUAAAUGGCUUUAUAAAUGAAGAGGUAUAUGUUGAACAACCACCCGGUUUUCAAAGUUUUAACUUUCCUAAUCAUGUUUUUAGACUUAAAAAGACACUUUAUGGUUUGAAACAAGCACCUAGAGCAUGGUAUGAAAGAUUGAGUAAAUUUCUUUUGAAAAAGGGUUUUAAAAUGGGAAAAAUUGACACAACUCUUUUCAUAAAAACCAAAGAAAAUGACAUGAUCUUAGUGCAAAUAUACGUUGAUGAUAUCAUUUUUGGAGCUAAUAAUAUCUCUCUUUGUGAAGAAUUCUCUAAAUGCAUGCAUAGUGAGUUCGAAAUGAGCAUGAUGGGAGAAUUUAACUUCUUCCUUGGACUUCAAAUCAAGCAACUAAAGGAAGGAACCUUCAUCAAUCAAGCAAAGUAUAUAAGAGAUCUCCUCAAAAGGUUAAAUAUGGAGGAAGCCAAAACAAUGAAAACUCCAAUGAGUUCAUCCAUCAAGCUUGACAUGGAUGAGAAAGGUAAGCUCAUCAACUCAACUAUGUAUAGAGACAUGAUAGGUUCUUUGCUAUAUUUGACCACUAGUAGACCCGACAUCAUGUAUAGUGUAUGCUUGUGUACUAGAUUUCAAUCUUGUCCUAAAGAAUCUCAUUUAAGUGUUGUAAAACAAAUUCUUAGAUAUUUAAAAGGGACUAUGGACAUAGGCCUAUGGUAUCCUAAGUGUGAUAAUUUUGAAUUAAUUGGAUACUCGGAUACCGACUUUGCCAGUUGUAAAGUUGAAAGGAAAAGCAUUAGUGACACUUAUCAUUUCCUAGGACACUCACUUGUUUCAUGGCAUAGUAAGAAGCAAAAUUCAGUAGCUUUGUCUACGGCGGAAGCCGAAUACAUAACAGCCGGUUUAUGUUGUGCACAAAUCCUUUGGAUGAAACAAACACUUGGUGAUUUCAAUUUGAUUUUUGAGCAUGUUCCUAUAAAAUGUGAUAACACUAGUGCCAUAAACAUUUCAAAAAAUCCGGUACAACACUCUAGGACUAAGCAUAUAGAGAUAAGACACCAUUUUCUUAGAGACCAUGCACAAAAGGGUGGCAUUACACUUGAAUUUGUAAACACAAAAUAUCAACUUGCCGAUAUUUUUAUAAAACCCCUAAGUGAAGAGCAAUUUUUUGAUAUUAGAAGACAACUAGGGGUGAUUUCUUUAUGAUCAAAUGAUUGCUUGAUGAAUUCUUAAUUGAAUAUACCUUAUGAUUGUGUGAAAUUCAUAUCAUAUGCAUCAUAUAGAAAUAAUCCUAGGAAAGAGGUCAAAUUUUGACCAAAAAUCAAAAUUCUCGUGGCAUUGGACAUAAAAAAUUGGGGAUUUCUACUGAAAAGGGUAGAAGGAGGAUCACAAGACAAGAAAAUGCAAAAAUUUUGGAAAAUUUGACCGUUGACCAAGCGGUCGACCGAUUGAGGAAUCGGUCGAUCGGUUCGUCGGGGCUAGGAACCCCACACUUCAUUUCUCACCUAUUCUCUUCCAUAGCUUGAAGCCCCUUCACAUACCUGCUUCCAGAGGCCAUUUUGGGUUGGAUUUUGGAUUGAUUGAAGGCUUUGAGUGGAUUUUGGGACGCAUUUAAGCUAGGGUUUCAAUCUGAAACCUAGGGUUUUCAGAUUUGGGAGCGUCUUCUCUCUGCACCGCGUGCCUCAAGGUUGAUUUAGCUUCAUCUCCGUGCGCCUAGGGCUUCGGGUUGGUGGUUGCUCCUUCUUAUUUGAUUUCAUUCUCUUUUUGGACUCCUCCUUCUCCUUUCCAUUCAUUGGAUGGCUCCAAGGCGAGAGACGGGCACCUCCGAAAGGCGAGGUAUGACACGACCCUCUUCAGUUCGGUUGAAAACUAUCAGCGCUACAAGCAAAAGUUUGCCCAGAGAAAAGUUGUCCCAGGGAGAAGUGUCAAUUUCUCCCAACUUCAGCACUUCGGGUUUAAGAGACUAUUCGAUCGGAUGGGAUGGCUGCCAGUUGUGACCAUUUCUGAGUCGAUCUUCCCGACUCUGGUGCUGGCUUUUUAUUCACGGGCGACCUAUGGGCUUGGAGGACCUAUAUUGUCCACUGUGAGGGGAGUUGAGAUCAGAUUGAGUCCCAAGAGUAUCUAUCGCAUUCUCGGCAUCCCUUCCGUUGGACUCCAAGUGUAUGAGGCCAAGGCGUGGCCCAUUGUGUCAGGAUUCUAGCCUAGAGAGGCUGUUCAGAGGUUGUGUGAACUCGUAGAUGCCCAGGGGAUGGGCAAACCAUUAGCACACAGCCUAACCAUGCCCAGCCGAGUCCUUCACCACAUGAUAUGCUCCAUUUUAUUGCCACGAGGAGGACAUCGAGAUGAGAUCUCGUAUCUUGAGGCAUUUAUUGUGGACUCGAUCCUCAUUGGGAGACGAAUUCACGUGGGAUAUCUAAUGAUGAUGCAUAUGAUCUCCUACGUUGAGAGCACGACACGAGUACUUCCCUAUGGCCGCUUCCUUACCCGAGUAUUCAAGGAUGUCGGGGUCGACUUGAGUAGAGAGACGGACUUCGAGGCCCCAACUAGCUAUGAAACGUAUGAUGAGCAGUCCUUAGGACGCAUGAAGUUCGAGAAGGCACUCGAUGGUUCUUGGGUUAGGAGAGCUGAGUGACAGGCCCAAAGAUAGGGACAGAUGCAUCCCGAGGCAGAGGAAGAGGCCGAGAUCAAAGAGAUGGAGGAUGGGUUAGACCCUCAGAGGGACUUUGAGCAGAGAGGACCCGAGCUUGACAUUCCACCUCCACCUCGUCAGAGGGCAUUCAUGUUGAGGCUACUUUCUCAGAGCUUAUGAUGAUUGAGCUAUCUUUCAUAGUAGGACCAUCAUCUCAGCCAUCAUUUACCGAGCUACCAUCUCAGGCACCUCACGCUCCUGAGCAUACGCCUUGGAUGGAUGUCUUAGCUCAGAUCAGCUCCCUUGGGACUCAUAUGGAGGAACUUGUUUUAGUCCAUGACUCUCGCUUCUACUCUAUGGAGGAGCACAUGGAUCAGUAUCAGACUGGAGUCACUUCUCAGUUUGAUCACUUCCAACAGAGAUUUGAGCUCAUAAAUGAGCGUAUAGAUCAGUAGUAGGCUACAUUUGAGCAUCUCUAGCAGAGCAUUGAUCGCAUUGAGAGUCGUCAGGCGAGUCAGCAUGAGGAGAUGAUGGUUUACCUCCGCUCUGUGUUUCCUCCUCCACCUCCUCAGCCUUGAGAUUGUCUCGAGUUUCCCUUCCAUUUCUUUUUUAUGUUGCCAAAGAAGGAGAAAUAUAUAGGAUCUAGGAGACCCUCAUGCAUGUCAGAGACCCUCAUACAUGUCAUUGUCAUAUCAUCUUGUUUGUACAUGUGAGGUUUUCAUAUAUAUAUGAUAUGAUAUUUUUAUGAUCCAUUGUUCAUUUUCAUGUUUUACAUUGCUUCCUAUUAAAAAUUGUUUGAUUGAUCCAUGAUUGGUUUGAGGGAAAGAUUUUUUUUCUCCUAGAUAACCAAGGUUUGUCAUCAUAAAAAAGGGGAAGAUUGUUAGCCCAAUGGUUCUCCUAAUCGGGUUUUGAUGAUAACAAACCAUAGUUAAGUGACUAAUUGGUUUAAUGAUUAAGAAUCUCAGGUAUAAACUCGAAAAUUCAUCAAAGGACCAAAUGAAUACAAGAUCGAGAUGCUUAGAAGACUUGUGAUCAUAGGAAAUUAAUGUAAGAUGAAUGUAUGAGUGCACUUAGGAUUUUCACACGUUUCAUGCAUCUUAGAAAACUCGAUUUAUUCUUUAAAACGUCAAUUUCAUUAAAAACCGAGUUUUUAACUAAUGUACCUUAGGUAAAAUGUUUUAUAAUUGGCUUAAUAAUUUUCCUAAAGACCUUGCCUAAGUGUUAGAAAAGAAAUGAAUAAAAAAAAAAGGUUUUAAGGGCCAAAAAGGCUCAACUAGUCGAGGUUAUGGCCAACCGGCUCAAUCGGUUGAGGAACCGAUCGACCGGUUGACCUCGUUCGGUCGAGGACCGGUCGAGGAACCGAUCGACCGAUUGACCUCGUUCGGUCGAGGACCGGUCGAGGAUGCACCAAAACCUUCUCUCUCUCCCAAUGGCCUUCUCUUCCCGGUCGAGGUCCGGUCAAGGCAACAGUAACCUGUCAUGCAUUAAAUGCUCCAACGGCUAGUGAACUGAUCGACCCUUAGCUCGACCAGACGAGAUUACCUUUUGCUAUUUUUGACUCCCGAGUUUAGAAACCUAUAAAUUGAGAGCUACACUUCAUUUAUUGACAAGAGAACACUUGCAUUCAAUAGCCUACCUACUUGUUCUUGAUCAAAAAGCUCUCAUUUCUUUCAUAGUGCAUUAAAUCACCACUUGCAUAUCCUUUAGUGCACUCUUGUGUGUCAUCCUAGCUUUGUCUUGUAUUUGAGCUAUCCUUAAGCUAGGUUGAAGGAUUAUAUCUAGUAAAAAUCUGAGUGUUAAAGCCUUCAAGAGGGUUGAAUCUUGAAGAGGUUGUGUAAGAGCCCAUUAGAGCCGGAAUCCAAGUGUAAGAAGAUUGGAAGCUUGGUUGAAGCUUCAAGUUAAUGGAACCCUCACUCGAUUAGGAGGUUGAGGAGAGUGGACGUAGGCAAGGAAGUGUCGAACCACUAUAAACCCGAGUUUGAAUUCUCAAAACUCUAUUUCUUUACUUUGCUUAUAUUGUGUUUGAAUUUGUUGUGAUUGAAAAGAUUUUAAAAACCCAAUUCACCCCCCCCCCCCCCCCCCCUUUUAGGUAUUUUUCUUAACUAAGCAUAGCCUUUGUUUUCUCAGAUUUUAUUAUAAAAAAAUAAUAUAAUUAAAAUUAGUAAUAAAUUUAAAUAUUUUUAAAUUACUUAAUCUUUAUAUAAAAGAGUUAAAUUAGUAAAACGAGUUUAAAAUAUGAUAUAAAGGUAAUUUAUUGACUUUAAAUCUUCUUUUUUUUUUUUACUUCACUUUUUCUUUCCUUCUCUUUCUCCUCUAUCUUCUUUCUUUCAUAUUUUCCCUCAUGUUUUUUGGAACCGAACAUAUUCACAUAUAUCCUUGAUUUCUAGUGGGUUUAUGAAAUUUGAGUAGACAUAAUUAAUGGAUCAAUCUUUAUUUUUCAUUUGACUUAAUUAAAAUAUUCUCUUUGAUGAGAUCAUAUUUGAUAAAUUGUUAUUUGAUUGCAGCAUAUUCAAUCGAAUUCGAUAGUCUAGGUAUCAUAAAUCAUACAUGUUAUACACUAUUUAUAGUAAAUGAAUAGCCACAAACCAUACAUAGAGGAGAUGCGGAUUUCAUUAUAAAUCAUACGAUAAUUACAAAAGAUAUGAUAUUAACUUGCAGUAAAUUGCAACAUCGGCACUCUAAUGCUGGAUUAGAGUAGGGGCAAUGGGCUCAGAGUAACUAGACAAAGUAAGUCUGAUUAUUGCUAACUUUCCUCAUCUUUCGUGGGCCUUUUGGGUGCUUUUUGUGCAAAAGAGAAAAUGCUAUAACUAAAUUGCCAAUCCAUCACCAACGUUAUAGACUAAUGAAGAAUACCAAAGGGGGUUGAAAAGAAAAAUAAAAAAAGACGCGUAUGUGUAUUAUUUUCUGUCAUUGAGUGUGUAUAUGGAUGUUAGAAGGUCAUUUGAUUGAUUAUGUUUGUUGACGAGAGUUUGUAUGUGAGCUUUUCGAGACCCUUCAUUCUUUGUAUUCAUUUUUGUCAUAUGUUUUGAGAGUGAGAUGAGUGGUCUUCUCUUAGGAGCUCUGAGUCAUUGUCUAUUCCAUCAUUGUGUUCGUUAUUGACGUGACCUCCUUUCAUAUUUGAUUUAAGCAUAUCAUCACUCGUUCUCGUAUUCUAUGUUUCAUCAUCAUACUCGUUUUCACUUCUGAUUCAUCAUUUUCAUUUCACCACUUAUUCCGUUCUUACAGUGACCUCAUCUUUGGGUUUGAUACUCUCUUCGCAUCAUCAUUAUACAUCUCGUCAUCAGUUUGAUUUUCUUCAUUGCAUCAUCAUUGUUACCAUGUUCACAGUAGGCAUUCUCAGGUCCAUGGCUCACAGGAUUUACUAUACAUGUUGCAUUUCAUACACGAGGGCAUGGGUUGUGAUCAUUGGGUAUUUGAGCUUAGUUUCCCUUCGUUUCUAUCACCCUAGCCUACAUUACAUCCCGUGUCUUAAGACCACCCUGAGGCCAUGGGAUCAGAUAUCGUCUUCUAUGGCUUCUAUUUGGACAGGUGUUUGAGAUUUGGUUGACAUUUAGAUAUUGUCAUGUUUCUUCUUCUGGGAGACACCUCUAUGAUGUUUAGAUUCGUUUCAACUGUGUUUGGAUUACCGGGAUCACGCGUUUGAUGAGGGAUGAUUCGAUGUCGCUUGUUUUUCUGACAUGUCGUACAUCCGAUGUCAUACUGGGGCAUAUUCCAUUUCGGAUGAUGUUUACAGAUCUUCAUGGAGUCACUUGAUCAUUCUUACUUGUGAGAUGUGCACUGGGACGAUGACUUAUUUGCCAUUUUUAUGAUGAUACCUCAGUAGAGACUCUUGGGAUCCAUCCGGUUAAGCCCGCACGUCUCGGCAUUCCGAUGUCACCAUGAUUACCUCUGUGAGAUGCCUUUUGGACUCUUGGACCCGAUUCUGUCCUAGAUUGAUGACUGGGAUUAUACGCUUGAUGAGAGAUGAUUUCAUGUCACCUGUUCUUCUGACUUGUCACACAUUCGAUGUCAUACUGGGGCAUAUUUUCAUUUCGGAUGAGAUUUAUGGAUCUUCACGGAGGUCACAUGUUUGAUGAUAAAUGAUUUCUUGUCGCCCGAUCUUCAACAUAUCAUACAUUCGAUGCCAUAAUGGGGCAUAUUUCCGUUCUGGAUGAGAUUUACAGAUCUUGGUGGAUUUGCAUGCUUAUCCUCAUUUGCGAGACGUACGCCGAGACGAUGAUCUAUUUGCUAUCUUUACGAUGAUUCCUCAGGGAAGCCUUUCAGGAGUUACCUAGUUAAACCCGCACUUUUCGACACUUAGAUGUCGUCAUGCUUUCUUCCGAGAGACGCCUCUUUGAUUUGUGGGCCUGAUUCAGUUGCAGACAUGGAUGAUUUGAGCUCAUUUGAUUUUCCAACCUAUCACAUUUUUGAUGCCAUACUGGGGCAUAUUCCCCAUUUUGGUCGAGAUUUGUAGAUCUCCCAUUGAUUUGCAUGAUCAUCUCCGGUUAUGAGAUACACGUCAUGUUGAUGAUUUGAUUUCAUUUUGUCCUGAUACUCCGAGGAGCCUCACUUGAGUCAUUCAGCCAGAUUCAUACUCUCUGAUAUAGUCGUGAUUCUUAGACAGAGUUACCUCAGGUGCCUGGUUUUCCACAUCAUCAUUUCAGUGGGGUACAUAUAAGAUAUUUUGUACAUCCCCCAUGGAGUUAUUCUCGAGUUAUUAUGACAGAUCGGAUACGUUAGACGUUAUAUUGGGACAUAUUUCCCUCCUUCGGCUGCGGAGGUGAUUGUUCUCUCACAAAUCUAUUACAGUUUUUCAUCACUCGAUCGAUGAACAUUUGUUUGCUUUAUUGGUCACCGUUCCUGUGAUUUUCGUCAAGAUGAGCUUUCAGUGUAGCACGAUGUUCGGGUUUUGACCGUCCCACUAGCCAUGAGUCUUUGGUGGAUUGUUACUUUGAGAUUGUGGUAUGUCUCUUAGCGGACUAUUCCCUUGAGACCCUAUCAAAUUAUUCAUUUCAGAUGACGAUAGAUUUCUCUAGCAGAUUGUUUCGAGUUAGAGGCGUCUGACUCAUUAUGACAUCCCGUCAGGCGUCGUGAUCUAGUAGGGCGAGUUGUGAGACUAUGUUCACAAUCGAUUUGAUUAUCCCGACUUACUAGUGGGACAUUUUUUUUUAGACUCAUGAAGUCUCUUUCAAACCUUUCCAAUGGAUUGAGAGUUGUGGCGGCCUGCUACACUAGGGCAUGUCCCCUCCUUCAUCAUUUCCUUACAGUUCGGCGUUCAGAGCCAUCAUUCAUUACUGAUUUUCUAUUUGGCGUUCAGAGUCACAUUCUCAGUUUCAGAAUUCAAAGCCAUCAUCGAUUUUCAGUUUGACGUUCAAAGUCCGCAUUUUUCAAUUUUGGCGUUCAGAGCCAUCAUCGUGUUUUUAGUUUGACGUUCAGAGUCACAUUCUUAGUUUCGACAUUCAGAGUCAUCAUCGAUUUUCAGUUUGACAUUCAGAGUCGCAUUUUUCAGUUUCGGCAUUCAGAGCCACCAUCAUUUUUUAGCCUAGCAUUCAGAGCCACUAUGUCUUCUCAUUUACGACGCUUAGGGUCAUCUUUCUUAGUUGGACGUUCAUAGUUAUCAGUUUUAGUUUGGCAUUUAGAGCCAGCGUUUCUGCAUGGCAUUCGUAGAUAUUAUCUUCGUUUCGACGUUUAGAGCCACGUUUUCAUUUCAACAUUCAGAGCUGUUGUUUCGGUUUGGCGUUCAAAGCCAUGGUUUUGGGUCGACAUUCAGAGUUAUUAUAUCAUCCAUUUCGGCGUUCAGAGCCAUUACUCAUCUUCGUUACAACAUUUAGAGCCACUACUUAUCUUCAUUCGGUGUUCAGAGCCAUGUUUGCUUCAUUUGGCGUUUAAAGCCACGUCUUCGUUCAGCGUUCAGAGCCAUUACAUCAUCCAUUUCGGCGUUCAAAGCCAUUACCCAUCUUCGUUACAACAUUCAGAUCCACUACUUAUCUUCGUUCGGCUUUCAAAGCCAUGUUUGCUUUAUUCGGCGUUAGAGCCACGUCUUCGUUCGGCGUUCAGAGCCAUUACAUCAUCCAUUUCGGCGUUCAGAGUCAUUACUCAUCUUCGUUACAGCAUUCAGAGCCACUACUUAUCUUCGUUUGGCAUUCAGAGCCAUGGUUUGCUUCAUUCGACGUUCAGACCCACGUCUUCAUUCGGCGUUCAAAGCCAUUACAUCAUCCAUUUUGGCGUUCAGAGCUAUUACUUAUCCUAGUUUCGGUGUUCAGAGCCAUUACUGGUUUUCUAUUUGGUGUUCAGAGUCACAUUCUCAGUUCCUCAAUCAGAGUCCUUAUGUCUAUCUUUCGUUUUGAUCCAUCACCAUUUUCCUCCAUUCUAGCAUUUAAAGCCAUUGGGCACACUCUUUCGAGCCUUUUUAGGUCAUUUCUAUUCUUAAUUUUGGCGUUCAGAGCCAUUGUACUUAUCCAUUCAGGCACUUUGAGUCACCAUUUUCUCUUUUCUUUUUUACGUUCAAAGUCACGGUCCCUGGCAUUUAUAUUCACUGGCAUUGCACAUCUGACAUUCAUAAUUUUGCAUCCAUCCUCACUUACCUCACCUUGUUACCCUGUGCUUAUCACUUAUUCAUCAUUGCUCGUCCAGAUUCCUGUUCCACUGCACAUGACACAAUCUCUUGAGUUCACGACACAUACUUCGAUCGUGUUGUUGAGGACCCUACACUUAUCAUUUUCAUGUAGUUCAGAUAGGGUAGUCUUCUUUGGGCGUAGACUUUUCUAUGCUCUAGGGCGAUUCGACCGUCACUCAUCUUUGAUAUGUUUUUUUUUAGUUACUUUUGGAGACGUCUUAGAGGGAGCCUGAGUCCUCAGUGUGGCUUCAGGACAUUUUGAGACAUCAUUUUCUUUUAGGGUUAGAGCCUUUUGUUCACCUAUUGGAUUGAGAGAGUUCGUGUUUCACUAGCAUCCUUUUGGGGGUCUCUUUUGUUCUUUGGUAGAGUUCACUUCAUUCCACUCACUAUUCACACUUUCUUUUCAUUCCAGUGUUCAUAUUCCUUACACUUGUGAGUUCUACCGAAGAUGAGCAUAUUUGUAGACCCCCAUUUAGGCAUGGUUCAUUUUUUCUUUGUUGUUUCUACAGGUUACAUUUUUUUUUUUGCCAGGUGUCGCAGCUAUGAGUAGCCAUGUGUUGAUUCCAAUUUGGUUGCUAUGGCAUCAGGUAGUGGAACAAGGAGCAAACAAGAGGUUGACACGUGUCAAAAAGAUUGGGGAAAAAGUUGAGUUCGUUAGGAGGAGUAGAGGAGAGAGAGAAUUGGUUGGCAGAGAGCGAGUGCUUUGCAUGCUAGCUAGAGAUAUUUUUUUUAGAGGAUUCUUUCUUGAGGGGCAAGUCGGGUAGUGAGGAGAGGCGAGACAGGGGGUAAGAGAAAACAGAGAGUGACUUGAAAUAGAGGGAGAUUCUGGUGACUGGCUGUUGGCUUGAGAUGAGGGAACCUAAGAGAAGAGAGAGCUUUCACAGAAGAAGCAAGGAACAGAGGAGAGAGGUUGCGGCUUGCUGAGAAUCAAACGACUUUUGAUCGAAAGGAUCGCUCAAGUUUAGCUAUUUUUACACCUUAAGUUCUCCAUUAUUUCAGUCAUUCCAUUUUUCUUCCUGACAUUUGGAUGUGUAUUUUGGUUGUCUAAUAUGUUAAACCUGUUUCUUAGCUUCCAUUUUCUUAGUCUCUGUUUGUCUUUCUUUUCUCUCUCUGUAUGAGUUGCAUUGUGAUUAUACUAUUUAUUUGUGUUAAAGUGACUCAAAAACUUCCCACUAGUUCUUAACUCUCAUUGAUUUUCAUGGAGAAAAGAUAGAUCUAAUCAUGUUACUUCUUUCACAUGCUUUGUUUCUUGAGUUUUUUUUUUUUUUUUGCUUUUGAAAAAUACCGACCAUUAUUUUGUAAACUACCUGGAAGUUUUGCAAUGAGAGACAUUUGAGGUGAGAGUUGACAAUGAGAAGAAGCGUAUUGCAUUACAGUGUAGAAUGAGGAAUAUUUUGAGGGUAUUUUGGAAAGCUUGAGGGGCAAGUUUACUGAAGAAAAGAAGAAAGUGUAAGAAGUUAACCCUACUUUGAAAAACCCAGAAAAGGUACGAAAUGGAAUGAAGAAGCCAACAACUUACAGAGCCAGCUUAAUGAGUUUGUUGAUUGUUCUCAAACUGAAAAUCUCGUAAGACCUUAGGUAGAUUACUGUAAACUGUCCAUCACUGGAGAAGAAUGUACGGUUGAGAUUUGCAGAAUAGAAGCUUCUGGUACCGGGAAUCAACGAUGAGGGGUGGCUCGAGCAAAAAGGAGUUUGAUGAAUGAAGUGAGCGGCUCGAGAGUUACAGUCUGAGCACGGAUGUGAGCGAGUGUGAGAGUUUGAGUGGCUUUUCGUGUGACGAUGACGGUUAGGGAGGAGGGGUUGUUUCUUCUCUGAAUUACUCGCUGCUCGUCUGACCGAAGGUUGUAGUGAAUUUCAGUUUCAGAGCGCCGCCUCCAUUAACUCUGCCGGUUGCUGGUGGUGGACAUGUGGUGAUUCAGCCACGGAAGCCGGAGAAAGAGUUGCCGCUACCACUGAGGAGUCCGAUUCUGACCACGUCCCAUGCCUCAACUCCGAAUGACAAGAGGAAUCCUUAUUAUUACAAGGAAUUAAAUCCCGGCGAUACCUCUGAAUCCGACAGUAGGGAGUGUUGGGUGGAUUGCCAGAAAGACUGGUAGGAGUUGAAUGAUUCAGCCAUCGCAUGUCUCAUGGAGGCCUAUACGGAGAAGUUUGCACAACUGAAUCAUGGGAAUCUUCAGGAUAAGGAUUGGACAAGAUUUUAUGGAAUACAAUUAGGGCCCACCAUGCCGCAUUCUUGACAUCAAAUUCGCAGUUACAUGCUGAUAGUUUGGUUGAUAAUCUCUUGUGCACACCUCUGUAGCGAAUCUCUUUGUUUUCGGUAACGCCGGUAGUCACGUCGAUAGAUUUGUCUCUCGGCGCCAUUUGUUUUGUGUUUUGGUACAAGUGUUUGUGAAAACAAAGGUAGACAGAAAGAGAAAAAGAUAGAGAGAGAGAGAGAAAGAGAGAGAGAAGUGGCUUCAAGGACACACGUGGCUCACCCUAUGUUUUCAUGCAUGUUUUCAAAAACCCAUUUUAAAAAAAAAUCUCACUUUCAUAUGAUUUUAAGUCUUAAAAUUUUCUUUCUUGAUUUUAAAUAAAUCCAAUUUUAAUAAAUCAAUUCCAAUCAUUUUUUUUUUCACUAGGCUUGCUGAUUGGAGCCAAAAUAUGUGCUCUAAUGGCACAUAUUUGAUAUGAUUUGUGCACCAAAGGACAUUCAAAUCACCCAACUUGACCUAAAUUAAUGCUAAGGCCCUAGCCAUGAGUUUAAUCUGUACUUUGGAGACUUAUCUCAGGUUCAAGGGAAGAAAAUUGUGCAAAUCCAAUGACUUUAGAUUUUGAAAUAUCAAGAAAGGGCUAAAUGAGGAAAUAAGUGAGUCAAGACUCAUUGAACGUAAGGAAAGGAAAAACGAGGAUAUCAUGAGGUUGAAAGAUGAUAAAUGACCAUUAUGGAGUAAGAAAGAAGGCAAGAAAGCAUGGGAAAUGAGGCAUGAAGCAAGAUUUAGCUGCAUGGAAAUUUAGAACUCAAAAAUCUGAUGGCGUUAUAUACUCUGACUUUGAGGACAAAUUUGGAGUACUUUCUAGAGUCCAUUAUAUACAUACUAUAUAUUUUUUUGAAGCUCGGGAAGUCAAGAGUCCAACGCUUCAAACGGUUUGCAAAUCGGAGCUGAAAUGAAGAAGUUAUGGCCAUUUGAAGACAAUUGCACCAAGUUGGAGGGUCAUUUCGAAAUGAUUUCGAAAUUCAACUUAUGAAUUCGAAAACUUAUGAAUUCGAAAUCCACUUCGAAAUGACACCAAUUUCGAAUUCACCCACUGCCACUUUGAUGUUCAGCCUCCUCUACCCCGGGAAUUGCAUCUAUUCAACUUAUGAAUUCGAAAUCCACUUCGAAAUGACACCAAUUUCGAAUUCACCCAUUGCCACUUUGAUGUUCCGCCUCCUCUACCUCGGGAAUUGCAUCUAAAGCACUCCAUCUGCCCUAGGUGGACUCCAUACAACUAGAAAUCACCAUUUUAUUAUUUUUUUAAUCAUUUUUAGGAAAUUAUUUUGUAAUAAGUGGCCAAUGAGAGUAUGCCACAUGUUAGGUAAUUGAGGAUAUUAUGUAAACUCUCUCAAUUCUAGGUUUUAGAGAUCUUGGAUUUUUUUUUGGAGAGUUUGACAUUGAAGGUGGAAGGAGACGAGAACUUUGGUUUGUUUUCUUUUUCUUCUUUAUUGAAAAUAUUGUUUUUAGUUUCUUUCGAUUCAAAUUAUGGAUUUUUACCCUAUUAUGGAUUGUGAAUGUGACAUCACCCCCAUGAGAGGCUAAGAGCCAACUUGGGGCUUGAAGCAUGAAAACCUAAGGGCUAGGAAACCAAUAGGGACAAUGGGCAAAUUAUUAUAACAAUGAGAUUAAUUAUUGGUUGGGUGACAAUUUAUCAUAUUUUUUUAUCCUAUCAUUGUGAGUUCGUUUAGGGAAUGAUACAUUAGGUUAUUACUUGAUACUAGUGAUUCUUGGUAAUUCUUGAUCAUUAGUUAUUUUCGUCUUACCUACCAUUAUUUGCCCCUAAACAAAGCUAUAAGGAGUAGGAAGGGUUAAAAAGCCAAAUCUUAAAUUGAUAAUCAAUCUCAUUCAUUUGAUGGUUUUAGGAAUCUGUUUUAAAAAGGAAAAAUUAGGUUUCGGAUGCAAUUUUGAGUUAUAGAACUCAACUUGAUCGCGAGUGGCCAAGGAUCCCAAAACUCUAAGAUCAUAUUACUUAAAAUACCCUUGUUUUCUCUAAUUUCUAUACCCUAGGUUGGAUUGUGGAAAACCCCAAACUUGAAUCAAUUGAUUUUAAAAUCAUUAUUCAUUUUCUCUUAUUAAUUUAAUUUCUUUUACUUAGUUUCACAUUAUUCACAUAUUGUUUUUCACUUAAGGAUUUAAACAAAAACAAUUCAUUUAUUCUAGUAUUGACAAUUUUCAUAGGCCAGUCCUUGAGAACGAUACUCGGAAUACUACAAAAGCCGUAGUGACUCUUUCUCUAGUUUUUCUUGACUAGAGUUACUACAUAAAAAGGCUAAGUAUUUUGGUACAAUAGAAAAUUUUCGGUCACUUGCAUCUUUUACUUCAUUUUAUUUUUUUAUUUUAUAUUAUUUUCAUUUUUUGUAUUAUUAUUAUUUUUUUCUUUUCUUUGAUUUUAUGUAUUUUCUUUUAAUAAGAAAAUUGGUUGUUAUUCUCUCUUCGGCAAGCCUUUUUUCACAUUUUCUUUGUUUUUUUUAAAAAUGUUUUAAAAUGAGCAUGAAUUUAAUUUUGUAGUUCCAAGAGAAAAGAUUGCAACUAAAUUGCCAAUCCAUCACCGACGUUAUAGAUUGAUGAACAAUACCAAAGGGGGUGUUAUGAAAUAAUGAGAAUAAAUAAUAAGAAAAAUAGAAUAAGAACACAUAGAUAUAUGUGGAAAACUUUAGACGAGAAAAGAUGGAGCACAAGCAAACAAAGAUGGAAAAGGAGCUGACCAGGAAGGUAGAGGAAUUGAGAAAGGAAGCAGAGACAACCAUGUUGAAGGAGCAAAGUCUGUUGGAGGAAAAGGCCAACGGUGAGAAGGCACUGCAAAGGAAAAAAGAAAGUGUAGAAAAGGCCAAUUCCUUUAUCACUACUAAGGCCACCAUUUCAUGAUACAGCCAUAAUAAUGGAUGUUUAAACAGUGUGAUUAGAUAUAAGUUUGCCAUUCAUAUAUGGAAAAUAUUAACAAAACUGAGCUUCGGCUUUCGAUGAGUCCAGGUAAAAUCAAUAUCAAUAUAACCUUAGCAGGUGAAUCAUCAUAGUGAAGUUUUUGGAAUUUCAAUGCAUGAACAUAAAGCCACUAAAAGGGCCCCUACUAUUCAACUGUUAUUGGUUCAAGGGUUGUAUUUAGUCAGCGUAUAAUGAGGUAGAUAUUUUGAUUAUAAGGCGAGUCGCGAGUCUCAAGAAGUGAUCUCGAUGUUUGACCAGAGAGCCUUACACCAUGGGUGUGAUUUGUCAAACAAUAGUUCAUUUCUGCUUCAUGGUUGUGCCUUGAGGUAAGGCUUUAGAGGCAUAAGCCUCAAAAGCCUCUUAAAAUUGGUUCUACACUUCUUUGCAUGGUGAAUGCAAGUUCCAAAUUUUGAUGACUUGGUAAUGUUGGAGUAAUUGUGUUGAAAGCAGUCAAACACAAACAAUUAUUAAAGAAGAUAAAAAUUUUGAAGAAUUAAAAUUUUAUUAUAUUCUACCACUCUUUUUUAUUCAAAUGUUACAUAAUAUCUUAUUUAUAGAUACCAACACUUAACUAAAAAUGACAUAAUUAAAAGUAAAUUAUCAUUUGAUUGCAAUGGAUUCAAUAGAACAUGGUGGAUAUGCUCAAUUUUUGUCCAUCAAUAAAAUUUGAUUUGAGUGAAUAUAAUUAGAGUAAAAUAGUCUUUUUAACUAUCACUUUUACAAUAAAAAGUGUUUUAUUUAAAUAAAUAUUUAAUAAAAUUUUAAAAAUAUUUUUCAAAAAUAAUUAUAGUAUUUUCUAAGAAACAUUUGAUAAAUAAUUAUUAUAAAAAUACUUUUAAAAACACUUCCUUGAAAGUACUUCAAAGUUGGUCAAAUGGUAAGUUAUACAUCAGGAUCUUAAUGAUGGUCCAUGUAACCAUCACCAUUGAUUGUUUUCUAAAACACAACUUCAAUUUAAAUAAUAUUUUAAGGCAAGUCCUAGUUAUCAUAUUUUACAAGAUAUUUUUUAAAAUUAUUGUUUUUUUUUCUUUCAAAAUCCCAAGAGGGAGGUCACCAAUAUGAAAAUAAUGUGACCCAUCUCUAUACUAUUGUCUCCAUUAUUUGGACUACAUAAUAGUUUCCUUAUUGACAACAUGGUAGCCACGUUAAAUACCUACAACUUUGAAAACAAGAUCUCAAAACUAUGCCUAUUUGAUUAUAAGGCUUAAUUAUUAUAGUUUAUCAUUUCCUAGCAUAGUUCUUAGCAUCUAAGUAUUUUUUAUAUAAGAAUUUUUCUUAUUUUUCAAGCUUGCAUUUUGUUUUAAAAAAAUUUGAGUUGUUUACAAUCAUUUUGAAAAUGUCAACUCAUAAUUGUAUACAUUUUAGUUCUAUAAAGACUAAAAUCACUAAAUGUCAUGGUAAUACUAUUUAAGGUAAUUUGCUUUAAAUGAGAAUGUGCUUAUAUACAACUUAUGGUAAUAAUAGAGAUCAAAUUUAAAAAUACAUAAGUUUUAAAUUAUAUAUUAGUAUAUUUAUGUUUCCUUCAUAUUUUUUAUCCUAAAAACACAUUAAAUGUAUGCUCUUGAAUUCCUUCAUGUUUUUGACAUAAUAAGAUUUGAUAUAAUGAUAAAUCAACUAUUAUUAUUUAAUAAUAUGGAGCUUUGACUUUUGACAUUUAAGUAACAUUGUCAAUGAAAGCUUCAUUAUUUUUGCUUCAUGGAAGAGCAAAUGAUGUGAUUGAAUUACACUUCAAUUAUGUUUGAUUGUUUGAAAAUACUCGAGAAAAAUAAAUAUUAAAGAAAAUAAUUUUUUCAUAUUUGAUUUUACUAUAUAAAAAUAAUAUAAUUAAAAUUAGUAAUAGAUUUAAAUAUUUUUAAAUUGCUUAAUCUUUAUAUAAAAGAGUUAAAUAAAUAAAACGAGUUUAAAACAUAAUAUACAGGUAAUUUAUUGACUUUAAAUCUUUUUUUUUUUACUUCACUUUUUCUUUCCUUCUCUUUUUCCUCUAUCUUCUUUCUUUCAUAUUUUCCCUCAUGCUUUUUGGAACUGAACAUAUUCACAUAUAUCCUUGAUUUCUAGUGGGUUUAUGAAAUUUGAGUAGACAUAAUUAAUGGGUCAAUCUUUAUUUUUCAUUUGACAUAAUUAAAAUAUCUCUUUGAUGAGAUCAUCUUAGAUAAAUUGUUAUUUGAUUGCACCAUAUUCAAUCGAAUUUGAUAGUCUAGGUAUCAUAAACCAUACAUGUUGUGCACUAUUUACAGUAAAUGAAUAGCCACAAACCAUACAUAGAGGAGAUGAGAAUUUCAUUAUAAAUCAUACGAUAAUUAUAAAGGAUAUGAUAUUAACUUGCAGUAAAUUGCAACAUUGACACUCUAAUGCUGGAUUGGAGGAUGGGCAAUGGGCUCAGAGUAACUAGACAAAGUAAGUGUGAUUAUUGCUAACUUUCCUCAUCUUUCGUGGGCCUUUUGGGUGUUUUUUGUGCAAAAGGUGCAAAAGGCUAUAACUAAAUUGCCAAUCCAUCACCAACAUUAUAGACUGAUGAAGAAUACCAAUGGGGGUGUUACGAAAUAAUGAGAAUAAAUAAUAAGAAAAAUAGAAUAAGAACACAUAGAUAUAUGUGGAAAACUCUAAACGAGAAAAACCAUGAGAAGAGGAAAAGAAGAUUCGUUAUGUCAAAAAUUGGUACAAAAUGGGAGAGUUGAAAGUGACUACAACAAAAACAUAAUCAUCAUAACCCUAAAACUAUACAUCAUUAUUAUAUAUAUAUAUAUAUAUAUAUAUAUGCGAGAGUUGAGAACAACUAUGGGAUGAGGUCUAUUGACCCGAUCUCUUCACUACCCCCACAAAUCUCUCAAAAAAUCUUAUAAUUUUAACUUUACUACAUAUAUUGCAUCGUGAGCUUUUCGAAUCGAAUAAAAAAGAAUUUGGAAUCAUCAAACUUUAACAAAGGGAGUGAGAUCAUAACUUUGGAAGGAUUUUUAAAAAAAAAAUGUAGACUUAAAUGGUAAAUAUUAAAGUGUGUUUGAGAGUGAUACUCGAAAGUAUUUUCAACAUUUUUAAUAUUUGAAAAAUAAAAUUUUUUAAAUAUUAAAAACAUUAUCUAAAAUCAAUAUCAAAAAGCAUUUUAUAAAAUCAGUAUCAAACUAUCAAACAUAAUUUGAAUUUAAAUAGAGACAAGAACAACAUUGACUCUUGACUCACUAAACCAGUCUCAGUUCACUUAUUGAAUGAAAAGAAAAUAAUUAAAAAUAAAGAACAACAUCCAUGAGUAUAUAUAAUAUAUUCAUUUGCAGCUCUUGAAUGCAAAUAAUUUAAUAAUUUUUUUUAUAAUUAAUUAAUGAAGAUAAAAAUUUGAUAAUUAACAUACAAUUAUGUUGAUAUUUUGACAUUAUAUUCAAUUCACCAAAUAAGAUUGUUUUUCACCCAACAAUAAUUUAUGUAGAAUAAUAAAUAAAUUAAAUUAGUUGGAAGUUAAUUUUAAUUUGAUUUAAUUAAAAAUUGGUUAAAAAAUGUUUUUCAUUUAAAAAUUAAUUGUAGAAUAAUAAAUAAAUAAAUAUAUUCGUAACCAAAGCAUUUGAUUAAAAAUUGGUUUUCAUUUAAAAAGAUAAGUUGGAAAUUAAUUUUAAUUUGAUUUAAUUAGAAAAUUGAUUUUUUGCUGGUUAAGUUUGUUUUAAUUUGUAAAUUCAUGUAAAUAAAAAAAAAGGAUAAGAAGAUAAUUUUCAUGUGAAAAAUCAUUUAAUUUGAAAAUAAAUGAUGUAAUGUGUUUCAUUGGCGGUUAGCACUUAGCAUUUUGCAUUUUUUCUUGUUUGUAUAACUUUUUAAAAUGUAAAAGAUAAUAAUAAAAUAGGAAAUAAUUAAUAAAUUAAAAAAAUAAAAUAAAUGAUCGUUGAUGGCCCCCCACAAAAUGUGUCAUAUGACUUGGAUUAUUUUUUUCUCUUUUUAGUAAAACAAACUUUUAAAAUAAAUAAAAAAUAAAAUAGGACAUAAUUGAAUCCCACUGUUAGUGAAUGCAAAAGGGCUUCACCCAACCAGAAAUAAUUGAAAGGACGCUUUAUUUUUACUUUUUCCAAAGUCUGUAGUAGCAAUUUUAAUGGGAUACAGUUGUAAAGAACCAGACAUCCUCACCACCAUCGUCUCAGACUCUCAGCAUUCAAAGACCCCUUUGAAUUUUCUUCUUCCAAAUUCUGUUCUUGUAAUUUUGUUACAAUCCAACCAUGACUUCCUCUAGCAAUUCUAAGAGACCCUCUUCAUCUUCUUCUUCUUCUUCCAAUUCUAAAUGCUAAUUAAUAAUUGAGAGUGCAAUUAAUAAUUGAGGCAGGACUUUGACUCUCGUGAACCCCCCCACUCUCACUCAAUGCUAAUUGCUAAAGGGUUACGGGCUUACAGCCGAUCAAAGAUAAUUGAGACAGAAGAACCAGACAUCGUCUCACACUUUGUUUUUUCUUCUUCCAAAUUUUGUUACAGUCCAACCAUGGCUUCCACUAGCAAUCCCAAGAGACCCUCUUCUUCUUCUUCUAAUUCUAAAUGGAGGUACGAUGUGUUCUUGAGUUUCAGAGGCAAGGAUACCCGCAACAACUUUACUAGUCAUCUCUACAAGGCUUUGGAUCAUGCCAACAUUGAAACCUUUAUAGAUGAUGAAGGACUUCCAAGGGGAGAAGAGAUUGCGCCCGAGCUCCUAAAAGCUAUUGAAGGAUCAAGGAUUGCCCUUAUUGUCUUCUCGAAAACCUAUGCUGAUUCCAAGUGGUGCUUGGAUGAACUCGUCAAGAUCAUGGAGUGCGAGAAAGAAAAGGGACAACAGGUUUUUCCUAUUUUCUAUCAUGUAGAGCCGUCUGAAGUCAGGAACCAGACUGGGAUUUAUGGAGAAGCAUUUAACAAUCACGAAAGAAAUGCAGACGAGGAGAAGAAGAAGAAGAAGAUAGAGCAGUGGCGGACUGCCUUAAGGAAAGCUGGUAAUUUGAGUGGAUUUCCUCUGCAGGAUAGGUAAUCCCUACUUCACUUUUUCCAUUCCCAAUUUUCUGUCAGUUUAUUUUCAUUCUUGUUAAUAAAUAAAAUAUUUAUGAUUACAUUUAUCAAUCAAAAUCCAUUUUUAAGUAGUAGACAUUAAUAUGUUCGAUUUCUUGGAAAGUAAUAAGAAAGAGUAAAAAAAAAUAAUAAUAAUAAUAAUAAAUGAUUUUCUCACAUUUAAUUUAUUAUUAAAAUUAUAAAAGGAAAUCAAAUAUAAUUAAAAUAUAUCAGAAAAAAUUAUAUUUGCCCAGCAGAUGGAAAUGCCAAGUUUUGAAUUGUUAAAAAUCUUUAAGAUUCCAAAAUAUUCUUCCUUUCUAAUCGAUCCAUCUCAGCCAUAAUUUCUAUCAAUUAAAAAAAAAUGGUAGUCUGUCAAAUAAAUUGUUAAAAUUGGUUAUUUAUAUGCCUUGUAAAUUUGGAGAUAAUCUGAGAUGAUUAUUUAAAAUAUUGUAAUACUACCCUAAAUUUUGUUGGACCUCUUAUGAGACAAAAAACUUAGUUAUUGCACCCUUAACCUUUUUCAAUUUUAGAGGAAUUUUCUAUUACUUAAAUAAUUUUCUCAUGUUCUCUAUGCACUACAUGAGUUUACAUUUCUUCUUUACUUAAUAUUGUUUGUUCCUCUAUAUUUGCAAGUUGAUUAUUAAAUUUAUUUACCUUUUAAUCUAAUGUUUGUAUCUCGUUUUAUUCUAAUUAUCCCAUGACUCUUCUUAAGACCUUGUCUUUCACGUUGAAUCAUCUAAUGCUAAACUUAUUCCCUUGCUAUUCUACUUUGUGUACUCAUGGGAUUAAUAUAUUGAAAUUGAAAUUGUUUUUUUUUUCUCUCUCUUUUUCUCUUGUAUGUUCUACAUUCUUCUAUGCCUCAAUUACAAAUAAAAGCAAGCAACCUUAGAGCUUGUUUGACUUGAAACUAAUGUUCAAAAAAUAGUUUUCCCCAACCCAAUGUUGAAAAUAAUGAACAAAAUUUUAUUUGAAAAUUCAAAUAUGAAAAAAGUCUUUCUCAACUUAUGAACUAUGAAGGUAUUAUAAAUUUAUGUACAAUAUAACUUUUUCUAAGUAUUAUCUAUAUUUUCAUUUCUUUAUCACAAUACUCUAUAAGAAAAUACUUAUAAUCAUCUCAAAUAUGCUCUUAAAAAUGAACUUGUUUACCGAAAAAAAUUUUGAAAAAAAUUUUUAGUAAAAAAAAAUAAAAUAUAUAUUUAAGUUAUUAAACUAUUUUAUAUUCUAGAGAAAAAAAAAUCCAUUUUCAAAAACAAUAUCAAUACAUGCAUUUUUCUUUUAAGUAUCAUUUAAAAAUCUUUUUCCACAAGUCUAAUUGUUGCUAGGCUUUUGACCAACAAACAAACACGUGUCACUUUCCUUGUCAUUCUAAUUUAUAUUUGGAAAAAAAAUGGGGAUUUCAUCAAAAUAUGAAACUUACGUAGCAAUUAUUAACAACCUAAAUAUAAAUAGAAGUACAACUAAAAUGUACUUGUUUACAAAAUAAAUAGUUGAAAGUCUUAUAAGUAUAGAGGAUGGUCAUAAGUCAUGCUAUAAUUAAUAAAAGCAUUGCUAGGUUACAGAACUUGGGUGACAAAUUGGUAGAUUUCUAGCCAAACUAGUAUUGGUCUCUAUAAUAAAAUCUCUUAUCAUAAAAGAUAACGAUACAUUAGAAAGGUCAACUUCAAUUUGGACCUUUAGAAGCAAUUGAGGUAUUUACAUUGUUUUAUUGCACAUAUACUUGACUUAAAACAAUGAAAUUUUAUUCAAACAUGCGACUCAAUACAUUUUUAAUUUACAUUCUAUUUGACCUUAAUUUAGUUGCAUUGAAUGGAGCUAAACACCAUUCUAUAAUUUCCAUUUACUUCAUCUUAGUUUUCUUUGGCAAUUGAUUCUAACUCACUGCAUGUUUUAUUGUACUUUAUAAUGGACAGAUCUGAGGCAGAGUUUAUUGAAGAUAUCAUUGGUGAGAUUAGAAGAUUGAUUCCUAAGUUGGUAGAUGUUGGUAAGAACAUGGUUGGAAUGGAUGGAAAUUUGAAACAAGUGAAGUCAUUGAUAGAUGCCCAAUCAAAUGAAGUGAGCAUGGUUGGGAUUUAUGGGAUUGGUGGGAUUGGUAAAACUACCAUCGCCAAGGUUGUUUACAAUGAUAUGUUAUAUAAAUUUAAACGUCACAGCUUUCUUGAAAAUGUGAGAGAGAAAUCUAAAGGUGGUCGUGGUUUACUUGAAUUACAAGAAAAACUUCUUUGUGAUAUCCUAAUGGAGAAAAAUCUGGAGUUAAGGAAUAUUGAUAAAGGAAUUGAAAAGAUAAAGAGUGAGUGUUGCUUUGAAAAGGUUCUUAUUGUUCUUGAUGAUGUAGAUUGCCCAAGACAAUUAGAAUUCUUAGCUCCUAAUUCUGACUGUUUUCAUCGAGGAAGCAUAAUCAUUGUGACCACGAGAAAUAAACGUUGCCUAAAUGUAUAUGAGUCGUAUUCAUCAUAUGAGGCUAAGGGAUUAGCACGUGAGCAAGCUAAGGAACUCUUUUGUUGGAAUGCCUUUCGAAAACACCAUCCAAAAGACAAUUAUGUGGACCUCUCUAAUCGUAUACUGGAUUAUGCUAAAGGCCUUCCAUUGGCUCUUGUAGUUUUGGGUUCUUUUCUCUUUCAAAGGGAUGUGGAUGAAUGGGAAAGCACAUUGGAUAAACUCAAAACAAACCCUCUCGAAGAUAUUCAAAAGGUACUCCAGAUAAGUUAUGAUGGACUAGAUGAUAAAUGCAAAAAGUUGUUUCUUGAUAUUGCAUGCUUCUUCAAAUAUAAGGAUGAAAAAUUUGUUACAAGAAUACUAGAAGGUUGCAAAUUCCAUCCCAAGAUUGGACUAAGAGUUCUUGAUGAGAGAUGUCUUAUCUCUAUAACGUACGGCACUAUAAGGAUGCAUGACUUGUUACAAGAAAUGGGUUGGGCAAUUGUUCGCCAAAUUGAUCCAGAAUGUCCUGGAAAAUGGAGCAGAUUGUGGGAAUUACAAGAUAUUGAAAGUGUAUUUACCCGAAAUAAGGUAAGAGAAAAAUACAUGAAUAUACUUGAGACCUAAAGACAUAAAAGAUUCAACAAGAUUUAUUUUUAUUAUUAUUAUAGUCUGAGUACCUUAUCUAUAUAAUUUUAUCGAAUCCCUAUGCAUCUUAUACUACUUUUUCUCAAUGCUUGUUUUCAGGGGACAAAAAACAUUGAGGGGAUAUUCAUAAAUCGGUCUUGGGAUACAAAAAAACGUAUACAACUUACUGCUGAAGCUUUCAGAAAGAUGAAUCGACUUAGAUUGCUCAUAGUUAAAGGCAAUAUGGUGCAGCUUUCCCAAGACUUUGAAUUGCCUUGUCAUGAUUUAGUAUAUUUUCAUUGGGAUAACUACCCUUUGGAAUAUUUGCCAUCAAAUUUUCAUGUAGAAAAUCUUGUUGAACUUAACCUCUGGUACAGCAACAUAGAACAUCUUUGGGAAGGAAACAUGGUAUUGCUAUUAUUUAGUUAUAUUUUUGCUCUAGACUAAUUUUAAAGUCUUUUGAAGUUUACUUAUUGAAACGAAUUUUCUUCUGUUACAGACUGCUAGAAAGUUAAAGGUCAUUAAUCUCAGUUAUUCCAUGCAUCUGGUUGGUAUUUCAAGCAUCUCAAGUGCACCAAAUUUGGAGAUUCUAAUUCUAAAAGGUUGUACAAGGUUACUUACUUGUUUCACCCAUGCUUAAUGUUAUUAUUAGUCAUGAGCUAACUGUUUUCUUGAAUAUAAUAGGAUGCAAGAGACUUGAGAGUCUUCCAAGGAACUUUCAUAAGCUGGAAUGCCUUCAAACACUCUCUUGUGAUGGCUGUUCAAACUUAAAAAGUUUUCCGAAGAUCGAGGAAGAAAUGAGAAGUCUAAGAAAGCUUCAUUUAAGUCAUACAGGUAUAAUGGAAUUACCAUCAUCAAUUAGCAAUCUAAAUGGGCUUGAAAAGUUGGACUUAGGUUAUUGCAAAAACCUUUUGAGUCUUCCGGACAGUAUUUUUAGUUUGAGUUCUCUUCAAACUCUGAAUCUAUUUGAGUGUUCAAAACUAGUGGGCUUUCCGGGUAUCAAUAUUGGAAGUCUAAAAGCUCUUGAAUAUUUGGAUUUGUCAUAUUGUGAGAACAUUGAGAGUCUUCCGAACAAUAUUGGUAGUUUUAGCUCUCUUCAUACUCUUUCAUUGAUGGGGUGUUCAAAACUGAAGGGCUUUCCAGAUAUCAAUAUUGGUAGUUUUAGCUCUCUUCAUACUCUUUCAUUGAUGGGGUGUUCAAAACUGAAGGGCUUUCCAGAUAUCAAUAUUGGAAGUCUAAAAGCUCUUCAAUUGUUAGAUUUCUCACGUUGCAGAAACCUUGAGAGUCUUCCGAACAAUAUUGGUAGUUUGAGCUCUCUUCAUACUCUUUUAUUGGUAGGGUGUUCAAAAUUGAAGGGCUUUCCAGAUAUCAAUUUUGGAAGUCUAAAAGCUCUUCAAUUGUUAGAUUUCUCACGUUGCAGAAACCUUGAGAGUCUUCCCAUGAGCAUUUACAAUUUGAGCUCUCUCAAAACAUUGAGGAUUACAAAUUGUCCAAAACUCGAGGAAAUGUUAGAGAUUGAAUUAGGGGUUGAUUGGCCACUUCCACCUACAACCAGUCACAUUUCAAAUUCAGCAAUAAUCUGGUAUGAUGGCUGCUUUUCCUCAUUAGAAGCAUUAAAACAAAAGUGCCCCCUGUCAUCACUGGUAGAAUUAUCUGUAAGAAAGUUUUAUGGCAUGGAAAAAGACAUCCUCAGUGGCAGUUUCCACCUAUCCUCAUUGAAAAUAUUAUCUCUAGGGAACUUCCCUAGCAUGGCAGGAGGAAUCCUCGAUAAGAUUUUCCAUCUAUCUUCAUUGGUAAAAUUAUCUCUUACUAAAUGCAAGCCAACGGAAGAAGGAAUCCCCAGUGAUAUUCGGAACCUAUCUCCACUGCAACAAUUAUCUCUACAUGACUGCAAUCUAAUGGAAGGAAAGAUCCUCAAUCAUAUUUGCCAUCUAACAUCCUUGGAAGAAUUACAUCUGGGUUGGAACCAUUUUAGUAGCAUUCCUGCUGGCAUCAGUCGACUUUCCAAUCUAAAAGCCCUUGACUUGAGUCACUGCAAGAACCUUCAACAAAUUCCAGAGCUUCCAUCAAGUCUACGAUUUUUAGAUGCGCACUGUUCGGAUCGUAUUUCAUCAAGCCCCUCGCUUCUACCUAUUCAUUCUAUGGUCAAUUGCUUCAAAUCAGAAAUUGAGGUAUGAUUCUCAUGCCACGUUCCUUUUUCUUUCGUACCCAUUGGAUUUACAUGGUGCUUUUGUGCAGGACUGCGUGGUUAUUCAUCGUUAUUCUUCCUUCUGGGGCAAUGGAAUUGGUAUUGUUAUUCCUAGAAGUAGUGGAAUUCUAGAGUGGAUAACGUAUCGGAAUAUGGGAGGGCAUAAAGUAACAAUAGAGCUCCCUCCGAAUUGGUAUGAAAAUGAUGACUUGUGGGGAUUUGCUUUAUGCUGUGUUUAUGUUGCACCUGCCUGUGAAUCUGAGGAUGAAUCUCAGUAUGAAUCAGGUCUUAUAUCUGAGGAUGACAGUGACCUUGAAGAUGAAGAAGCAAGCUUUUAUUGUGAAUUGACAAUCGAAGGAAAUAAUCAAUCAGAAGACGUGGCUGGUUUCGUUCUUGAUUUUCGCUGUGUUAAGGAUGAUGUAUCAGAUAUGCAGUGGGUGAUAUGUUAUCCCAAGUUAGCUAUUGAGAAAAGUUAUCACACCAAUCAAUGGACACACUUCAAGGCUUCAUUUGGUGGGGCCCAAGUGGCAGAGUGCGGAAUCCGUCUGGUAUACACAAAAGAUUAUGAACAGAAACAUCCAACAAUGGCACAAGGCAGUACUUCUCAUGGGAAUUUUGGUGAGCAUGGAUCAGUAAGAGAAGAUGGCAGUACUUCUCAUGGGAAGUUUGGUGACCAUAGAUUAGUAAGAGAAGCUUUACUACUCUAAAGAUACUAAUAGUAAAGAUCACAAUAAAAGGAAUCCCACAGAACAGAGCCCAGGAGAGGAGUCACGUACACCAUAAAAGAUUCAGAGAAACCCAAGACUGAUCCCAAGCAUUAGGCUCAACCACACUUGCAUCAAUAAUGUUCUCUUCCUGGUAAUUCAUCUUCUUUUCUCUUUCAAAUUCAAAGGUCAGAAAUUUUUUUAUCAUGUUUCUCCUUUUUAUUUGUUUUUUCCCCAAGACAAACAAAAAUUUGUGGCUAUCAUCCAUGGGUGCAAACUUCAAUGGUACACCUCCCAAGUUUGUUUUUCUCUCUCUCCAACCGUCUCUCCCUAGAUUUUUCUGCAUUUUCUUCAAACUCAUAUUUCUAUAUGAAAUUCAAUUACAUUCGAGCAUUUCAAUCUCUGUAGCUAAUGUCUGAAUCAUUUCUAGGGUUUCUUUUUUCUGGAAGUUUGUAAUGUUAUUGAUUUAUGACUUGAUGUUUGGGGAUGUUUUGGGUGGCUUGUUCACUUUUUUAUAGCGAUGAUUUAUGGAACCAGAGUUUCUUAGCAGGAAAUGGAACUCGUGUGUUUUAGAAUAUUGGCGUUAUUUGCUUGUGCCCUGUUUGGUUGCUGAGAAAGAGUGGAAGGAGGAUGGAGAAUUAAAUAAUUUUCAAUCUAAGCAAUGAGAAAUUAGAUUUGGGUAUUUGGGCCAUUGGAGUUAUUUGCUCUUACUCAGUUUGGUUUCCAGGAAACUGCAGGCAAAGCAUGGAAAAUAAAGUAUUUUUAAAUUAAUUACCAGGAAAUGGAAUGUACGUAUUUGUCUCUUUGGAAUAUAAACAUCAGUAUUCACUCUUCAAGAAUGUAUAUGGUUGUUGUUUUGGAAUUUUGAAAUUACUUAGCAUCAGACAAUUUCUAACUUGGGAUUUGGAUUGGGAAUCAUAAGUAAUCAUUAGAGAGUAUAUGAGAAGGAGUUUUAGAGUAAGACAGGGUGAUGCAUGUUGAGGGAUGCGUCUCACCCUGGAGUUCUUUGGAAUAAUUAUAGGAUUUUGUAAGUAACUUUGGACUUAUUAGCAAUGUUCUGGAUUUGUGAAUAAUUUAUAGAAUACAUUGGGUGUUUUUUUUUUUUUUUUUUUUUGAGAGUGAAUAAUGUAUGACUGUACUCUUCUCUAUCUCUGUGGUAUGGCACACGUAUGAUUUGGUGCUUUUUUGCAGGCCUUCAACAGCAGCAAAGCAUCUGGUGGCUUGCAGUACUAAUCUUGCAUUAUAUUCUCUGUUUUGCAAUCAUUUGGUACUGUUUGUCCCAACCAAGGAUAGCUCUGUGCAAGCAGUCUCGACUGUGGAACAAGUAAAACAAAUGGUACCUGCUGAAGCUGAGAGGGCAGAUGAUAAGCUGGUGCGGAAGGUGGUCAACCAAAAGAAUCAGACAGCAAAAACUAAAAAGCCCAUCAAGCCUGCUACUGAAGCAGCCUCAGCACCUGUUUCUGGGAGGGGUGAGAUUGAAGUGACUGAAGAAAAGGAGCAUGAGCAAACAAAGAAGGAAGAGGAGUUGGCCAGGAAGGUAGAGGAAUUGAGAAGUGAAGAAGAAGCAGCCAUGUUGAAGGAGAGAAAGCCAACGUUAAGGAGGCACUGGAAAGGAAACAAGGAACUGCAGAAAAGGCCAAUUUCUCUGUGAGUGCUGCCACCUUUUCAUAAUAAUGGAUGUUAAAAGCAGUCUAACUCUACAUGGCGUUUAUUUUCCCCAGCCAUGGAUUGGAAUCUGCCAGUCUAACUCUCAUAAGAAACAAAAUUUUCCAUCCUCAUAUGGAUUAUUGGAGAAGAUUUUAACAUGGAGUUCACUAGAGAGUUUCUAACACCCACUCAAAAAGGACAUUUUAGAGAACUUAUUGAAAAGUUACAUCAGAGUACAUAAAUUUUUAGAUAUUUUUAAAAAUAUCUGAAAAAUUAAAUUAACUAAAAGUAUUUGAAAAAUAUUUGAUUGAAUUAAUAAAUAACUAGUAUUUGCAUAUGAAAAAAUAGUAAACAUAGUCAAUAAUUUUUUUUUUAAUAAUUAGCACAUAAUAAUCAUAAAUUAAUUUAUGGCAAGACCUCAUAUUUGUUGUGGUGACUGUGUUGUCUUACCAUUCUUCUUUCAUGAUGGGCUUAAAUUUUAAUUUAAAUGUAGUAUAAAUAUAUAAUUAGAUUGAUAUUUCGUCCACUAGAAUUGAUUGGGUCUGAAUUUGAACCCUGGUCUUGAAUUUCUUGGCCCAACCAACGAAAUCAUUGACCAACGGCCCUUAGUUUGGGCUGGGCUUGAUGGUCCUCAGGUUAUGCAGGCUUAAUACUGAUUGGGUUUGGGCUUCCAUGCAGUUGUACUUGGAUUCUAUGUUUCCUAAUAUUAACACUAAAAUUAGGUUUAAUUUAUUAACACUAAAUUAGGUUUCAUUUAUAAUUAAAUAUAAUUAGUUUGAGAAUAACUCCAAUCUUUAGUUAAACCAACUAAGUUUUAUGCAAAGGUUUAUAUUCCUAAUACCAUUGAAAAACUAAAUUUAUGUGGAAGUUUGACUGAUACCAACAUUAAAUUAUUAAGAUAAAUUGAAAAAAAAAAAAUCAUGCUCGUAUGUCCUGUUGUUUGUCAUAAGAAAAUUUCUUUUCAGAUUUUUUUUUUCUUUUAAUACAUCUUUACAUUUUUAAUAACAAUCCAUAGGAUUGUUCCCAAACAUAUAUCAUAUAAAUAUAUCUUUUUUGGAUUUUUAAGAAUGUUGUCAAACAAACUCAUAAUACCAUUCUUUCUUUACAAUUACCAAUCCAUAUGAUGAAUUUAUUCCUUUCAAUAACUGACAUCAUCUAAUAAAAAUUAUAAUUAGGUAUUAUAUUUAAAAAGUGUUUAAUAAAUCAAUUUAAUAACUUAAGUGAUUUAAUAACUUAAUUUAAAUUAUUAAAAUAAUUUGAUGUCACAAUUUAAAGUUAAAAUUGAUUUAAUUAAUUUUUAUUUAAAUUUAAAACUAUGUUUACAAAAAAGGCUUAAAAUUCAUAUCAAUUAAGAAAUUAAGUUAUUAAGUUACUUUAAGUCAUUAAAUUAAUCUACCAAUUAAACACCCUUUAAGAUAUGAUAUAAAGUUCACCUCCUACAUAUCAUGAAAAUUAAAAAUUAAUUACCACAUCAAGAAUCUUUAGUUCCUAAUCGAUUUAAUAUUUAAUCCUUGGUUGUGAAUUUCUUUAUAUAUGUAGAUAUAUUUUUAUAUUGCAAGUGGGCUGCCGACUUUUCAUUUUAUACUAGUUUUGAAAAUAAGAUUGUAGUUUUUAUUUUGUCCAAAUCUAAUUUGGAGGGAGAAUCUUUAGAGGCUAUUUUAUAUUCAAAUAGGAAAAUUUUAAAUUUAAUAGUCCCACCUUAUAAAGGCAAAUAUCUUGGACCCUACAUGGGUGCCUCUUACAUGCAUGCACGAGGACAAAGACUUAUUGAAAGCCUCUCUCAUUCACAUGGAUGCCAUCAUUCAUCGAAGUUGAAACAUGAAACCCACACAAAAUAUUUGGGCAAAAGCAACUUCAAUAUUUUUUUUCAUUACUAUAGCUGAGAAUCUCAAUAUUAUUAAAUAGUAAUAAAAUUAAUUUUAAUAUUUUUUUUCUUAUUUUUUCCUCCUUGUGGUUAUAUUUUCAUCCGGAAAGUAUUAAAUAUUAAAAAAGAAUAAAAUUUAAAAAUUAAUUUUUCAUAUUUAAUUAUAUUGUGAAAAAUAUAAAAUAAAAUAUAAUAUAAUUAAAAUUAGUUAAAAUUUUAUAUUUUUAUAAAAUUAUUUAACUUUUUUAUAAAAAUUUAAAAUAAGUGACAUGAGUUUGAAAUAGUAUACAUAUUGACUUUAAAUUUAAUUUUUAUAUUUUUCAUUUUUCUUUUUAACUAUUCUUCUUUCUUCUCUUUCUCUCAACUUUUCCUUCAAAUUUUCCAAUAACCAAACAUAACCUAUUUGUUUCAUAAAAACUCUUUUACCUUUUUAAAUUUUUAAAAGAGUUGCUUACAUAAUAUGGAGCUAAUAGUAUUACUUGUACCUAUUAAUUUCUUUUAAGAUUAAAUUGUUCUAACUUUGUGUGAUAAAAAGUUUGUAAAGUCCAAUUUUACGAAAGAAAAUAUAUGAUUAGUGACUCCCUUGCAUUUCCUUUGGGAUUCACCCCUUCAUACUUACCGUAAAUAGUUGUACCAAUUAAUCAAACAAAAAACAUAGCAUGUAAAUAGUAAUAUGUUAAAGUUUUCUAUCGUGCCUAAGUUUAAUUAGUUCUACUUAUUUAUAUAUUGAAAUGAAAGUAAGCAUAUAUUUAAGUGGUCCAUCAAAUUUGAAACUAAUCUAUUGUAAUUACAUUCAUGUCUAUAUCAUUUAUAUUGUACAUAACUUGAGUACAUUAAAAAUUGUACAAAAAAUCCAAAUUACAAGGAAGUUUAUAUAAACUCUCUUAGGAUUAGACACUGUUAGUCAUUGCCUUCUAAAAAGCUUUCAUCUCUUUCUCCCUCAAGAGGUUUGUAGUCACUUUACACAAGUGUCAAAACUCAAAAGAGUGAUCUAAUGAAGAUGACGAGGUGAUUGAGAUCCUUUUCAUAAACUGGAGUUUGAUAUGGGAACAUUCAUAUCGAAGGUAAAAAUUUUUAUCAGCAACUAGACUUACUUUUAUCUUUCCUUAUAAUUAAACCCAAUAAUCCUAGGUUGUUAGAGACCACACACCUAUGAUCCAAGGGUUUUCCCAACAAGGAUAUCAAUAAAUCUUUCUACUCUAUUGAUGGCAUCUUGAAUUCUUUCAAAUUAAUCACUUCAUUGUAAUCGUUAUUCACUAAAUCCCAUAAAUCUUGAGAUCUAAACAUGACAUUCAUAUGAAUGCAUCAAUUAUUAUAAUUCUUACUUAUGAAUUUUGAAAGUUGAGAUUCAAUUGAGUUAUUAUUUACCAUCAUUACUUUAACAACCAAAUUGCAAAUUUCUUUAUACUAUUCACAUUCUCUGGCAGCCUUUGACCUUCCCUAAUCUUUAGCCUCUAGCUAAUACCACUUGUUUGAGCUCCCAUAAUUGGGCAGCAUUGACAAUAAUUUACUAAAAUAACAUUUUAUUCUAUCCUACUCUCUCUUUGUCAACAUAAUAAUAAACCUCUAUUUAAAAUAAGUUGAUCAUAUUUGCAUUAUCACUCUAAUUCAUAAUUAGAUUGGGAAACCUAAUUAAUAUCAAAUAAAUAACCAUUCCUAAUAUUUCUCAAAUUUAUAAAAUUCUUCUAAUUUGACUUUAAAUUGAUUUUUUAUUUUGACUAUAUAGCUUAAAAAGGAUAAUUUUUUAAAUAAUUAUCAAUUUCAUAUAAUCUUUAUAAGCAUUUGUGUUCAUAAAUUCCUUAUUAUGAUAUUAGGUUUUAGACAAUUUGACAAUAUGAUGAUGUUUUGGAAUGAAUGUUAAGUGAAUCCGUUUUACUCAAAACCAUUAAAUAAAAAAAAAAGACAGUUACACAAGUAAAAUAGUAGAUUAUUGAAGGCCAGGAGAAAAGAAGAGGAAAAUGAAAUAUUAUAUCCCUAUAAUGAGUUAGGUGGAUAUUUCAUGUGAAAAGUUUAAUGUGCAAGGUUGUUCAUGUCUAUUGAGUUUUGGGUAAUCAUUUUUUCAUGGAAAUUUUUUAUGGAAUCCUAAUCUUAGAAAGCAAUAGGAAAUUUUUUUACCAAGAUUUCUAAGAAAUAACUACAUCAAAGUGUAAGAAAAGUAUCAAACUAGAAUAUCUAAGAAAUUACUACAUCAAAGUGUAAUAGAAACAUCAAAUUAGAAAGUGAAAUAUAAUACAAUUCAACUAUGAAAAUGAAGGACAAAGGAAUAGACUAAUUGCCAAAGGAAAAUAGUCUUUUAGUUUUAAUCAGAAAUUUCUUAUAUCAUAAUUAUGACCUGUAGAGGCCACAUGGGUUGUUGGCCUUGGAGUGACUAAAAGGUACAACUAAAAAACGUCAAACAUUUGGAGAACUAAAAGAAAACAUGGAUAAAAUUUUUUUACCUAGAACAUUUAUAUAGAAAUAUUUUAUUUUUUAUUUUUAAAAAAUUAGUAAAGGUAGUAAAGUUUUUUAAAGAUUAUUUUGCGCCCUAAAAACAAAUCGUAAAGGCUUGUUAAAGAUUAUUUUGGAUAUGUUUCAUGCAUUAAUUUUUUUUAACAUUUCAAAUUUUUAAAUGAUUUUUAAAAGUUAUUACCUUUUAAAAUGUAAAUCUCAUAGAGUAUUUGCAUUAUAUAGGAAUUACUAUCAUUUUUAUUUUUUUUAAAAAAGAGAAAUGUAUUCAAAUAAUACCUUAAUUUUUCAUUUUCUAGUAUAAGGAAAUGAUUAUAUCUCACACAAACCUUGUUCAGAUACAUAUUUCAAAGUGAGAAAAAAAAAAUUCUUUUAGAGAAAAGAAGUCCUUCAAAAAGAAGAAAAAAAAAGGUUUUUCAAAGAAGAGUUAGAAGGAAAAGUGAAUUCAAUCUUAUAAUCAGCUAACAUGAUGUUGUUUGAUUACAUUUUUUAUUUUCUAUUUUUACAAAUAAAAUAUAAUAAUAACUCCUAUAUGAAAUAUAGAACUCUUUCAAACUUACUUUAAAAACAUAAUAAUAUUUAAAAAUUAAGAUAAAUUGUGAUAUUAAAAAAAAAAUUACUUCUUCAAAUUUUAAAAAUUAUGAAAAUAAAUUUUUAAUGACAUAAGAUAAGUCUAUAAAUUUUACAUAAAAGUUAUUAUAUUUUAUAUAGAAACUAUUACUAUUUUCUAUUUGUAAAAAUACAAAAUAAAAAAUAUAUCCAAGCAAGUACUAUGAGAAAUAGUUUCUAACAUUUCUUAUUAAGAAAAUGAGAAUAUUAAGAAGUAUAUUCCUACUACAUUGUUUUUUUUUUUAAUUUGAUAUCAACCCAUUCUAUUAGCUCUUUUGAGAAAUAUAGAAAAAUAACAUUACAUAAUUGCAUAGAACAAGAAUAUUAUUUAAGUUUGAGGCAAGUGUUAAAAAGAUAUUGUAAUUCUGUUACGUUGUUUAACUUCAAUGUCCUAUAUGUAACUGUUAGGAAUUUGAGGCUAAUCCAAACUAUAGUAAUCACCCUAGAGGGAGGGGGGGGGGGGGGGUAAAUAGGGUGAUGAUCUCUUUUUCACAAAUCUAAACUAUGCAAAAAUAAGAGACAAUUAUAUGUAAAUAUAUAAUAAACACAAUUACAUAUAAUUUAAAAAAUUUGGGAAAAAAAAGUGCAAAACCGAAAACUUAUAAUGGGUCGACACUUCCUUGGCCACCUUCCCUCUCCUUAAACCCCUAAACGAAUGAGGGUUCCCCUAUUUUGAAGCUUCCACCAAGCUUCCAAACCCUUUACAAAUGGAUUAAGGUUUCCAAUCCCCCUUUUGNNNNNNNNNNNNNNNNNNNNNNNNNNNNNNNNNNNNNNNNNNNNNNNNNNNNNNNNNNNNNNNNNNNNNNNNNNNNNNNNNNNNNNNNNNNNNNNNNNNNAGAGAGUGCAAACACGAGAGCUUAUAGUGGUUCGACACUUCCUUGCCUACGUCCACUCUCCUCAACCUCCUAACCGAGUGAGGGUUCCACUAUCUUGAAGCUUCAACCAAGCUUCCAAUCUCUUUACAAUUGGAUUAUGGUUCCAAUUCACCCUUUUGGACUUUUGGCUCCAAGCACCCUUUACACUUCUCAAAAGUUAUCCCACUCUUGAACAACCUCUCAAGUGAUACCCCUCACUUGAGAAAAUUCCUCUCAAAGAUAUACAAAGAUUGAUCUCACAAAAAUUGUAGUAAUAGAACUUUAAGCUCAAAUGAUACAAGAGAAACUAGGAUUGAAUGGUGCACUAAAGAUAUGCAAGUUUUGGAAUAAUGGUGCACUCAAAAAUACUCUUCCAAGGCUCAAAUAUAAUCAAGAAAGAUUUGGGAAGGUUUAGCUUAUCAAACAACGAAGUUUGGAGCCUUUUUAUAGAAGAAAAAAGUCAUACUAGCCGUUGGGGGUUUGAUCGGUCGAGCUAAGGGUCGACUGGUUGACUAACCAUUAGGAAAAGUGACUGUUGAGCCUCAACCGGACCUCAACCGGUUGAGGUUCAACCUUGACCGGGAAGAGAAGGCCACUAGGAGAGAGAGAAAGUUUUUGGCCUCCCUCAACCGGUCCUCGACCGGACGAGCACAACCAAUCGACCAGUUGAACCGGUUGAGCCAUUUUUUUGGCUCAACACUCAACAUUUUUCAACUUAAAACCUUUUAACACAAAUUUGAAAAUCAUUUAACACAAGGUUUUAGUUGAAAACAUUAAAUCAUCCAAUUCUUAAGAUAUUUAAAACAAUAUUACUCUUGGAUAAUUUUGGUGCAUAAAUAAAUAAUGAAAUGCAUGAAAGUCCUAGUGCACCAACAACCUUACAAAGAGAUCCUAAGAAGCUUUGGUCUUGAAAAACUCUUCUCUUUGAGGUGGUCUUCUUUUUCAUGAUUUCUCCUUGACUUGAUUUGUCUUUGGAUUGCCACUUUGGAAGUCGUCUUGCCUAAUCACACUUGAAAUAUGAUCAUUAGUUCUAAACCUUGUUUUGUUAUCAUCAAAAUCAAGAUUAACCAAACCUUGGUUUCACAGUAACGACUUGUUCCCAACCAUAUAGAUAUUGUCCGCUUUGGACCCAAAUGGGCCCUCACGGUUUUUAAAACUCGUCUACUUGGUUAAGAGGAACUUCUACAUAUAUAGCGUCAGACUUUCCCCCCUAUCCGAUGUGGGAUGUCACAAACACCCCCCUCCCCCCCUCCAUGUAGACACAACGUCCUCGUUGUGUCCCAUGGGAUUGUAGGGUUAAAUAGACAAACACCCCUUAUGAGGUCAAACAAACCCCAACACCGGGGUCGGGGAUCGACUCUGAUACCAUUUAUCAGAAUCCGUACUCAAUUAUAUAUAUAUUGUCCGCUUUGGACCCAAAAGGGCCCUCACGACUUUAAAACGCGUAUACUUGGUUAAGAGGAGUCUCUACACAUAUAGCACCAAGAACUUUUCCCCCUAUCCAAUAUGGGAUGUCACACUAUAUAUGUGUAACAAUUUUUCUUUAAAAAAAUUAGAGGACUUAAAAUGGGCUCUUGUCAACCUUAUUGAUAUUUGAUGUCAAAGGGAUACAACCAACCACCACAAAUAAUUGAGAGAAAAGAAAGGAAAUAAUAAUAAGAGGUAGGCCCCGGGCUCUUGUGAACCUUAUUGAUAUUUGAUACCAAAGGGAUACAACCAACUCCCACAUUUAAUUAAGAGAAAAGAUUGGGAUAUCCUCACCACCAUGUCUAGAUUGCUUUAGUAGGACCAAGAGAAGUCAUUCAGCAUCCAAAGAUCCUCUUCUUCUUCUUCUUCUUUUAAUUCUAAAUGGAGGGACAAUGUGUUCUUGAGUUUCAAAGGUGAAAAUACUCACAAAAGCUUUACUAAUCAUUUCUACUGUAUAUCUUUACUUGUAAUAAAUGUAUAAGAUAUUUGUAUUAACUGUAUAAAACAUGUACAGACCUGUAUAUCUUGAAUUUAUUAAUAUGUUUUUCUUCAUUUUCUUUGUUUUCCAUACCAAAAUACUAAAAAAAUUAUUUACAUAAUUUUUUCUUUUCACAUUUUCAUAUGUAUACAAGACACUUAUACUAAAUGUACAAGAUAUUUUCAUAUUUUGACUAAUGCCUAUACAAAUAUGCAAAUAUAUUGACAAUAGGCAAACUCAUACUAGUCUUGUAUAGUUAUGACAAAUGUCUUAUACAUUUAGGGUGUGUAUACAAUGUUUUCUAAUUCUUUGUAUAGUUAAUACAAAUGUCAUAUAUAUUUUUGAAAAUGUAAAAAAAAAAAAAAGAAGUUAUAUUUGACAUUUACACAUUAUAUAUAAACAAUAUUUCAAUUUAAUAUGGAAAAUGAAAAAAAUGCAAAUAGAUAUAUGUGAAGGGUAAAAAGAGUAUUUUUGUUCGUAAAAUUUCAUGUACUUAAACAUGAAGUAUGCAUCUUUUCACAGAUGUUGGCCAAAUUAUGAACCUCAAACACAAUUGUUUUAAAGAGAAAUGUGAAGAAAAAGAAUAUGAAUGGUAGUUGUAAGAAAAUUAAAAAAUAAAAUCAUUGACUCUUCACUCUACCAAACUAGGGAUGACAACGAGGCGAGUUUGGGAUGGGGCCUCGUUCCGUUUAACUUUUUUUUUUAAUUACUUAAAAUUUUUUUAAUUAUAUUAAAAUAAAUAUAUUUUAUAAAUAAUUAAAUUAUUAUAUUUUUAUAACUUAUUUUAUUAAAAAAUAUUUUUUUUAUUAUUUAUAUAUUAAAAAUAGUAAAAUUAAAAUUAAAAUUAAUUUAAUUUUAAAAAUUAAUUUUAUAUAUAAUAGGGGUGGAGCAAGAUAAGGCAAUAGCUGAAUCUGUCCUGGGUUUUAAAAAGAUUCCCAAACCUGUCCAAAACUCAUUUAGUUAAAAUUGAAACUCAUCCAAUUACGAGCGGGUAUCCGAAAAAACUUGUCCUAUUGUCAUCCCUAUACCCAACCACACUAUCAUCCAAUGAAUAAAACGAAAAUAACUAAAAUUAAGGAACAACCCAAGAAUCAAUGACUUCCUAGCAAGCCCAUCCAUAUCCCAACACGGACAAAAAUAUUUUAAUUUUUUUGCCUUAAAAAUCACGCAUGAAGCUUCCUAGAAAUUUCAUACUUCUUUGUCAUUAUCUAUAUUUUCUACUUCUUUUUCAUCGUCAAUAUUUGUGUAUAUAUAUAAAAUAAAACUUGCAAGAAAAUACAAAAAUGAUAGAUGGCAAAAUGGUUUUUAUGUUAAGAAGGUUCUAAAUUUUUCACACCUUUACAGUAUAAAAAAAAAAAAAAAAAAAAACUUUUUAAAUACAGAACUAUUUCGGACUUGAAUCAUUUUGAAAUUCAGAGACUUGAAAAGUGUUUGUUGGACUUGAAGGAGUUUGGAGUUAAUCUUGAACUUAGAUAUGUUUAGAAAUCAAAGUGGAUUUGAAGAAGAUUGAAAUCCACGACAUGACAACACUGUAAUAUGAAUAGUGUUUUGUCAAAAAAAAUUACUAUUUACUAUUUACUAGGGCAUAAAAGAAAAAUACAAAAUAAUACUCUAAAAAUGCGAAGGAAAGAUUGUUGGUCGUUGAAUAAGGGGAAAAAAAAGAAGAAAAGUAAAAUGUGAAAAAAAAAAGCUUCAAGAGUGCAAUUAAUAAUUGUGGUAGGCCCUGACUUUUGUCUUGUGAACCCGCCUAUUAUUGAAUGGAAAAGGGAUAUAGCCAACCAAAAUAAUUGAGAGUAAAGAAAGGAACACCUCACCACUAUGCUCCAAAUUGAGAGAAAAACAAAGUCAGCCGGCAUCCAAGGACAUUUUUAUUAAAAAAGUAAAGAAAAGAAAUGGUGCUUUAGCUAUUAUCAUAUCAACUCCUAGGAAAUAAAUGAAAAGAACAAGUAAAUGAAAAGAAACAAAAAAAAAAGUUCUUAGAAUGCAAAAAGAAGAUAUUGGAUAUUGAAUGCCCAAAAGAGAAAAAAAUAAAAUGGUAAGAUGUAAAGAAAAGAGUCAGAAAAGCUUCACAAUUGCAAUUAAUAAUUGAGGUACGACUUGGACUUUUGUGAACCCUCACUGUUAAUGCUAAAGGGUUACAGCUAAGGAAAGGAUAAAUGGGAGAGAAGAACAGGACAUCCUCACCACCAUCGUCUUAGCAUCAAAGACCCUCUUUUUUCUUCUUCCAAAUUCUGUUCUUGUAAUUUUGUUACAAUCCAACCAUGGCUUCCUCUAGCAAUUCUAAGAGACCCUUUUGUUCUUCUUCUUCUUCUAAUUCUAAAUGGAGGUACGAUGUGUUCUUGAGUUUCAGAGGCGAGGAUACCCGCAACAACUUUACUAGUCAUCUCUACAAGGAUUUGGAUAAGGCCAACAUUAAAACCUUUAAAGAUGAUGAAGAACUUCGAAAGGGAGGAGAGAUUGCACCCGAGCUCCUAAAAGCUAUUGAAGAAUCAAGGAUCGCCAUUAUCGUCUUCUCGAAAACCUAUGCUCAUUCCAAGUGGUGCUUGGAUGAACUCGUCAAGAUCAUGGAGUGCCAGAAAGAAAAGGGACAAAUAGUUUAUCCCGUUUUCUAUCACGUACGGCCGUGUGAAGUCAGGAACCAGUAUGGGACUUAUGGAGAAGAAUUUAAGAAACACGAGAGCAAUGCGGACGAGGAGAAGAAGAAGAAAAUAGGGGAGUGGAGGACUGCCUUAAGGAAAGCCGGUGAUUUGAGUGGAUUUAGUCUGCGGGAUAGGUAAUCCCUACUUCACUUUUUCCAUUUCCAAUUUUCUGUCAGUUUAUUUUCAUUCUUGUUAGUAAAUAAAAUAUUUAUGAUUACAUAUAUCAAUCAAAAUCCAGUUUUUAAGUAGUAGACAUUAAUAUGUUUGAUUUCUUGGAAAGUAAUAAGAAGAGUUAAAAAUAAAUAAAAAUAAAAAUUUAAAAAAUUUGAUUUUCUUAUAUUUAAUGUAUUAUUAAAAAAUAUGAAAGAAAAUAAAAAUAUAAUUAAAAUACAUUGUAAAAAUAUAUAUAAUUAGUUUAUAAUUAAAAUAAUCUUAGAAAAUCUAUAGUAGUUGUUCUGGGCUCAUUCAGGCCCAACAGGUAAUCCCUAUUUCACUUUUUCCAUUACCAAUUUUCUGUCGGUUUAUUUUCAUUCUUGUUAAUAAAUAAAAUAUUUAUGAUUACAUUUAUCAAUCAAAAUCCAUUUUUAAGUAGUAGACAUUAAUAUGUUUGAUUUCUUGGAAAGUAAUAAGAAAGAGUAAAAAAAAAAAUUGACUUUCUCACAUUUAAUUUAUUAUUAAAAUUAUAAAAGGAAAUCAAAUAUAAUUAAAAUAUAUCGAAAAAAAAAAUAUUUGCCUACAAUUGGGAUAAUAUUAGAAAAUCUAUAGUAGGUGUUGUGGGCUCAUUCAGGCCCAGGUAAUACUGGUAAAAAAAUAAAAUAAAAUAAUUAUGCCAAAUGCCAAGUUUUGAAUUGUUAAAAAUCUUUAAGAUUCCAAAAUAUUCUUCCUUUCUAAUCAAUCCAUCUCAGCCAUAAUUUCUAUCAAUUAAAUUGUUCAAAUUGGUUAUUUAUAUGCUUUGUAAAUUUGGAGAUAAUCUGAGAUGAUUAUUUAAAAUAUUGUAAUACUACCCUAAAUUUUUUUGGACCCUCUUAUGGGACAAAAAACUUAGUUAUUGCACCCUUAACCUUUUUCAAUUUUAGAGGAAUUUUCUAUUACUAAAAUAAUUUUCUCAUGUUCUCUGUGCACUACAUGAGUUUACAUUUCUUCUUUACUUAAUAUUGUUUGUUCCUCUAUAUUUGCAAGUUGAUUAUUAAAUUUAUUUACCUUUUAAUCUAAUGUUUGUAUCUCGUUUUAUUCUAAUUAUCCCAUGACAUCUGGAUAAUCUCUUCUUAAGACCUUGACAUGACAUAAUGAAAUUUUAUUUAAACAUGCAAUUCAACACAUUUUUAAUUUACAUUCUAUUUGACCUUAAUUUAAUUGCACCGAACUAAAGAUCAUUCUAUAAUUUCCAUUUACUUCAUCUUUGUUUUCUUUGACAAUUGAUUGUAGCUUACUCCAUGUUUUAUUGUACUUUAUAAUGGACAGAUCUGAGGCAGAGUUUAUUGAAGAAAUCAUUGGUGAGAUUCGAAGAUUAAUUCCUAAGUGGGUACAUGUUGGUGAGAAUAUUGUUGGAAUGGAUGAAAAUUUGAAAAAAGUGAAGUUAUUGAUAGAUGCCCAAUCAAAUAAAGUGAGUAUGGUUGGGAUUUAUGGGACUGGUGGGAUUGGUAAAACUACCAUCGCCAAGGUUGUUUACAAUGAUAUGUUAGAUCAAUUUAAAUGUCACAGCUUUCUUGAAAAUGUGAGAGAGAAAUAUGAAGAUAAAGGUGAUUUGCUUCAAUUACAAAAAGAACUUCUUUGUGAUAUCCUAAUGGAGAAAAAUCUGGUGUUAAGGAAUAUUGAUGAAGGAUUUAAAAAGAUAAAGAGUAAGCGUCACUCUGAAAAGGUUCUUAUUGUUCUUGAUGAUGUAGGUUGUGAAGAACAAUUAAAAUUCUUAGCUCCUAAUUCUGAAUGUUUUCAUCCAGGAAGCAUAAUCAUUGUGACCACGAGAAAUAAGCGUUGCCUAGAUGUAUAUGACUCGUAUUCAUCAUAUGAGGCUAAGAGAAUGGCAGACAAGCAAGCUGAGGAACUCUUUUGUUGGAAUGCCUUCAAGCAAGACCAUCCCAUAGAAAAUUUUGUGGGCCUCUCUAAUCGUAUACUGGAUUAUGCUGACGGCCUUCCAUUGGCUCUUGUAGUUUUGGGUUCUUUUCUCUUUCAAAGGCCUAUGGAUGAAUGGGAAAGCACAUUGGAUGAACUCAAAACAAUCCCUCCCGAGAAUAUUCAAAAGGUACUCCAGAUAAGUUAUGAUGGACUAAGUGAUGAACGCAAGAAGUUGUUUCUUUAUAUUGCAUGCUUCUUCAAAGAUGAGGAUGAAAAAAUGGCAACAAGAAUACUAGAAAGUUGCAAAUUACAUCCCGCUAUUGGACUAAGAGUUCUUCAUGAGAGGUGUCUUAUUUCUAUAGAGGACAACACUAUAAGGAUGCAUGACUUGUUACAAGAAAUGGGUUGGGCAAUUGUUUGCAAUGAUCCAGAACGUCCAGGAAAAUGGAGCAGAUUGUGCGAAUUACAGGAUAUUGAAAGUGUAUUAUCACAAAAUGAGGUAAGAGAAAAAUACAUGAACAUACUUGAGAUCUAAAGACAUAAAAGAUUCAACAAGAUUUAUUUUUAUUAUUAUUAUAGUUUGAGUAUAUUAUCUAUAUAAUUUUAGUGAAUCCCUAUGCAUCUUAUACUGCUCAUUCUCAAUCCUUGUUUUCAGUGGACAAAAAACAUUGAGGGGAUUUUCACAAGUCAGUCUCGCCAUACAGGAAAACAUAUACAACUUACUACUGAAGUUUUCAGAAAUAUGAAUCAACUUAGAUUGCUCAAAGUCGAAUUCAAUCAGAUCGUGCAGCUUUCCCAAGACUUUGAAUUGCCUUGUCAUGAUUUAGUAUAUUUUCAUUGGGAUUACUACCCUUUAGAAUAUUUGCCAUCAAAUUUUCAUACAGACAAUCUUGUUGAACUCAACCUCUGGUGUAGCCGCAUAAAACAUCUUUGGGAAGGAAAUAUGGUAUUGCUAUUAUUUAGUUAUAUUUUUGUUGUAGACUAAUUUUAAAGUCUUUUGAAGUUUACUUCUUGACACAAAUUUUCUUCUGUUACAGCCUGCUAAAAAGUUAAAAGUCAUUGAUCUUAGUUAUUCCAUGCAUCUGGUUGACAUUUCAAGCAUCUCAAGUAUGCCAAAUUUGGAGACUCUAACUCUAAAAGGUUGUACAAGGUUCCUUAAGUGUUUCAUCCAUGCUAAAUGUUAUUAUCAGUCAUGAACUAAUUGUUUUCUUGAAUAUAAUAGGGUGCACGAGACUUAAGAGUCUUCCAAGGAACUUUCCUAAGUUGGAAUGCCUUCAAACACUCUCUUGUUGUGGCUGUUCAAACUUAGAGAGUUUUCCGAAGAUCGAGGAAGAAAUGAGAAGUCUAAGAAAGCUUAAUUUAAGUCAAACAGGUAUAAUGGGAUUACCAUCAUCAAUUAGCAAGCUAAAUGGGCUUAAAGAGUUGGACUUAAGUAGUUGCAAAAAGCUUUCGAGUCUUCCGGACAGUAUUUAUAGUUUGAGCUCUCUUCAAACUCUCAAUCUAUUUGCAUGUUCACGACUAGUGGGCUUUCCGGGUAUCAAUAUUGGAAGUCUAAAAGCUCUUAAAUACUUGGAUUUGUCAUGGUGUGAGAACCUUGAGAGUCUUCCGAAUAGUAUUGGUAGUUUGAGCUCUCUUCAAACUCUUUUAUUGAUAGGGUGUUCAAAACUGAAGGGCUUUCCAGAUAUCAAUUUUGGAAGUCUAAAAGCUCUUGAAUCGUUAGAUUUCUCAGGUUGCAGAAACCUUGAGAGUCUUCCCGUGAGCAUUUACAAUGUAAGCUCUCUCAAAACUUUGGGGAUUACAAAUUGUCCAAAACUCGAGGAAAUGUUAGAGAUGAAACUAGGGGUUGAUCCAUGCCCCUGGCCAUUUUCACCUCUAACCUGUCACAUUUCAAAUUCAGCAAUAAUCUGGGAUGAUCACUGGCAUGACUGCUUUUCCUCAUUAGAAGCAUUAGACUCACAGUGCCCCCUGUCAUCACUGGUAGAAUUAUCUGUAAGAAAGUUUUAUGACAUGGAAGAAGACAUCCCCAUUGGCAGUUCCCACCUAACCUCAUUGGAAAUAUUAUCUCUGGGGAACGUCCCUACAGUAGUAGAAGGAAUCCUCUAUGACAUUUUCCAUCUAUCUUCAUUGGUAAAAUUAUCUCUUACUAAAUGCAAGCCAACAGAAGAAGGAAUCCCCCGUGAUAUUCAGAACCUAUCUCCACUGCAACAAUUAUCUCUACAUGACUGCAAUCUAAUGAAAGGAACGAUCCUCGAUCAUAUUUGCCAUCUAACAUCCUUGGAAGAAUUAUAUCUGGGUUGGAACCAUUUUAGUAGCAUUCCUGCUGGCAUCAGUCGACUUUCCAAUCUAAAAGCCCUUGACUUGAGUCACUGCAAGAAGCUUCAACAAAUUCCAGAGCUUCCAUCUAGUCUACGAUUUUUAGAUGCGCACUGUCCGGAUCGUAUUUCAUCAAGCCCCUUGCUUCUACCUAUUCAUUCUAUGGUCAAUUGCUUCAAAUCAAAAAUUGAGGUAUGAUUCUCAUGCCACGUUCCUUUUUCUUUUGUACCCAUUGGAUUUACAUGGUGCUUUCGUGCAGGGGCGCAAGGUUAUUAAUAGGUAUUCUUCCUUCUAUGGCAAUGGGAUUGGUAUUGUUAUUCCUAGUAGUGGAAUUCUAGAGUGGAUAACGUAUCGGAAUAUGGGAAGGCAAGUAACAAUAGAGCUCCCUCCGAAUUGGUAUAAAAAUGAUGACUUGUGGGGAUUUGCUUUAUGCUGUGUUUAUGUUGCACCUGCCUGUAAAUCUGAGGAUGAAUCUCAGUAUGAAUCAGGUCUUAUAUCUGAGGAUGACAGUGACCUUAAAGAUGAAGAAGCAAGCUUUUAUUGUGAAUUGACAAUCGAAGGAAAUAAUCAAUCAGAAGACGUGGGUCAUUUCUUUCUUCAUUCUCGCUGUAUUAAGGAUGAUGUAUCAGAUAUGCAGUGGGUGAUAUGUUAUCCCAAGUUAGCUAUUGAGAAAAGUUAUCACACCAAUCAAUGGACACACUUCAAGGCUUCAUUUGGUGGUGCCCAAGUGGAAGAGUGCGGAAUCCGUCUUGUAUACAGAAAAGAUUAUGAACAGAAGCAUCCAAGAAUGGCACAAGGCAGUACUUCUCAUGGGAAUUUUGGUGAGCAUGGAUCAGUAAGAGAAGAUACUGAUAGUAAAGCUCACAAUAAAAGGAAUCCCACAGAACAGAGCCCAGGAGAGGAGUCACACCAUAAAAGAUCCAGAGAAACCCAAGACUGAUCUCAAGUAUUAGGCUCAACCACACUUGCAUCACUAAUGCUCUCUUUACUGGUAAUUCAUCUUCCUUUCUCUUUCUAAUUCAAAGGUCAGAAUUUUUUUUUUAUCGUGUUUCUCCUUUUUAUUUGUUUUUUUUUUCCCCAAGACAAACAAAACUUUGAGGCUAUCACCCAUGGGCGCAAACUUCAAUGGUACACCUCCCAAGUUUGUUUUUCUCUCUCUCCAACCGUCUCUCCCUAGAUUUUUCUGCAUUUUCUUCAAACUCAUAUUUCCAUAUGAAAUUCAAUUACAUUCGAGCAUUUCAAUCUCUGUAGCUACUGUCUGAAUCAAUUAUAGGGUUUCUUUUUUCUGGAAGUUUGUAAUGUUAUUGAUUUAAGACUUCAUGUUUGGGGAUGUUUUGGGUGGCUUGUUCACUGGUAUUACUUGUGAUAAUUGCAGCUCUGGUGCUUUCAAUGACUGACAAUAGUUGAAACUAUGUUGAAUGCUUGUACUAAGGGAAUGGACUUCAGCUGCUCCAGGGUUAGUGCUAUAACAUCAGUAUUCACUCUUCAAGAAUGUAUAUAGUUGUUGUUUUGGAAUUUUGAAAUUACUUAGCAUCAGACAAUUUCUAACUCGGGAUUUGGAUUGGGAACCAUAAGUUAUCUCACCCUAGUGUUCUUUGGAAUAAUUAUAGGAUUUUGUAAGUAACUUUGGACUUGUUAGCAAUGUUCUGGAUUUGUGAAUAAUUUAUAGAAUACAUUGGGUGUUUUUUUUUUUUGGUCCAUCAAAAACUUCAAGAACUUUGAGGGUGAAUAAUGUAUGACUGUACUCUUCUCUAUCUCUGUGGUCAUAGCACACGUAUGAUUUGGUGCUUUUUUGCAGGCCUUCAACAGCAGCAAAGCAUCUGGUGGCUUGCAGUACUAAUCUUGCAUUAUAUUCUCUGUUUUGCAAUCAUUUGGUACUUUUUGUCCCAACCAAGGAUAGCUCUGUGCAAGCAGUCUCGACUGUGGAACAAGUAAAACAAAUGGUACCUGCUGAAGCUGAGAGUGCAGAUGAUAAACUGGUGCGGAAGGUGGUCAACCAAAAGAAUCAGACAGCAAAAACUAAAAAGCCCAUGAAGCCUGCUACUGAAGCAGUCUCAGCACCUGUUUCUAGGAGGGGUGAGAUUGAAGUGACUGAAGAAAAGGAGCAUCAGCAAACAAAGAAGGAAGAGGAGUUGGCCAGGAAGGUAGAGGAAUUGAGAAGUGAAGAAGAAGCAGCCAUGUUGAAGGAGCAAAGUCUGUUGGAGGAGAGAAAGCCAACGUUAAGGAGGCACUGGAAAGGCAACAAGGAACUGCAGAAAAGGCCAAUUUCUCUGUGAGUGCUGCCACCUUUUCAUGAUACAGCCAUCAUAAUGGAUGUUAAAAGCAGUCUAACUCUACAUACUUCCUUGCAUUAUACUAGUCAUUGAUGGGCUUAAAUUUUAAUUUAAAUGUAGUAUAAAUAUAUAAGUAGAUUGAUUGGGUCUGAAUUUGAACCUGGUUCGAGUCAUACUCCCAUCCAAUCCAAACUUGUGAUUGGGCUUGAAUUUCUUGGCCCAACCAGCGAAAUCAUUGACCAACGGCCCUUAGUUUGGGCUGGGCUUGAUGGUCCUCAGGUUAUGUAGGCUUAAUACUGAUUGGGUUUGGGCUUCCAUGCAGUUGUACUUGGAUUCUAUGUUUCCUAAUAUUAACACUAAAUUAGGUUUAAUUUAUAAUUAAAUAUAAUUAGUUUGAGACUAACUCCAAUCUUUAGUUAAACCAACUAAGUUUUAUGCAAAGGUUUAUAUUCCUAAUACCAUCAGGUAUUAUAGUAAAUACCAUUGAAAAACUAAAUUCAUGUGGAAGUUUCACUAGGUGAUACGACAUUAAAUUAUUAAGAUAAAAUUAAAAAAAGAUCAUGCUCGUAUGUCCCGUUGUUUGUCAUAAGAGAAUUUCUUUCUAGAUUUUUUUUUUUUUGCUCUUUUCAAUUCUAGAUAUUUUAAUAUAUCUUUACUUUUUCAAAAACAAUCCAUAGGAUUGUUCCCAAACAUAUAUCAUAUAAAUAUAUAUUUUUAAGAUUGAUUUUUAAGAAUGUUAUCAAAUAAACUCAUAAUAGCAUUUUUUUCUUUACAAUUACCAAUUCGUAUGAUGAAUUAAUUACUUUCAAUAACCGACAUCAUCUAAUCAAAAUUAUAAUUAAGUAUCAUAUUAAAAGAGUGUUUAAAAAAUCAAAUUUAAUAACUUAAAGUGAUUUAAUAAUUUAAUUUAAAUUAUUAAAAUAACUUGAUGUCACAAUUUAAAGUUAGAAAUGACUUAAUUUAUUUUUAUUUAAAUUUAAAACUAAGUUUACAAAAAAGGUUUAAAAUUCAUAUCAAUUAAGAAAUUAAGUCAUUAAGUUACUUUAAGCCAUUAAAUUGAUCUACCAAUUAAACACCCUUGAAGAUAUUACAUAAAGUUCACCUUCUACAUAUCAUGAAAAUUUAAAAUUAAUUACAACAUCAAGAAUCUUUAGUUCCUAAUCGAUAUCAUAUUUAAUCCUUGGUUGUAAAUUUCUUUACAUAUGUAGAUAUAUUUUUAUAUUGCAAGUGGGUUGCCGACUUUUCAUUUUAUACUAGUUUUGAAAUUAAGAUUGUAGUUUUUAUUUUGUCCAAAUCUAAUUUGGAGGGAGAAUCUUUAGAGGCUAUUUUAUAUUCAAAUAGGAAAAUUUUAAAUUUAAUAGUCCCACCUUAUAAAGGCAAAUAUCUUGGACCCUACAUGGGUGCCUCUUACAUGCAAAAGGACAAAGACUUAUUGAAAGCCUCUCUCAUUCACAUGGAUGCCAUCAUUCAUCAAAGUUGAAACAUGAAACCCACACAAAAGCAAUUUCAAUAUUUUUUUUCAUAACUAUAGCUGAGAAUCUCAAUAUUAUUAAAUAGUGACAAAAUUAAUUUCAAUAUUUUUUUUUCUUAUUUUUUGCUCCUUGUGGUUAUAUUUUCAUCUGGAAAGUAUUAAAUAUAUUAAAAAAGAAAAAAAUUAUAAAAAAAUUUUUUUCCUAGUUAAUUAUACUAUGAAAAAUAUAGAGUAAAAUAAAAUAUAAUUAAAAUUAGUUAAAAAAUUAUAUUUUUAUAAAAUUAUUUGACUUUUUUAUAAAAAUUUAAAAUAAGUGACAUGAGUUUGAAAUAGUAUAUAUAUUGACUUUAAUUCUUUCAAAUUAAUCACUAGGUUGUUAGAGACAUACACCUAUGAUCCAAAGGUUUUCCCAACAAAGAUAUCAAUAAAUCUUUCUACUCCAUUGAUUGCAUCUUGAAUUCUUUCAAAUUAAUCACUUCAUUGUAAUCAUUAUUCACUUCAUUGUGAUUUGUCAGACAACAAUUCAUUUCUGCUUCAUGGUUGGACCUUGAGGUAAGGCUUUAGAGGCAUAAGCCUCAAAAGCCUCUUAAAAUUGGUUCUACACUUCUUGCAUGAUGAAUGCAAGUUCCAAAUUUUGAUGACUUGGUAAUGUUGGAGUAAUUGGGUUGAAAGCAGUCAAACACAAAUAUUUAUUAAAGAAGAUAAAAAUUUGGAAGAAUUAAAAUUUUAUUGUAUUCUACCACUCUUUUUUUUAUUCAAAUAUUACAUAAUCCUUUAUUAACUAAAAAUGACAUAAUUAAAAGUAAAUUAUCAUUUGAUUGCAAUGGAUUUAAUAGAAUAUGGUGGAUAUGCUAAAUUUUUGUCUGAUAAUAAAAUUUGAUUUGAGUGAAUAUAAUUAGAGUAAAAUAGUCUUUUUAACUAUCACUUUUACAAUAAAAAGUGUUUUAUUUAAACAAAUAUUUAAUAAAAUUUUAAAAACAUUUGAUAAAUAAUUAUUAUAAAAACUCUUCCUCGAAAAUACUUCAAAGUUCGUCGGAUGGUAAAUUAUACAUCAAGAUCUUAAUGAUGGUCCAUGCAACCAUCACCAUUGAUUGUUUUUGAAAACACAACUUCAAUUUAAAUAAUAUUUUAAGGUAACUCCUAGUUAUCAUAUUUUACAAGAUAUUUUUUAAAAUUAUUGUUUUUUUUCUUUCAAAAUCCUAAGAGAGAGGUCACCAAUAUCAAAAUAAUGUGACCCAUCUCUAUACUAUUGUCUCCAUUAUUUGGACUAUAUCAUAGUUUCCUUAUUGACAACAUGGUAGCCAUGUUAAAUACCUACAACUUUGAAAACAAGAUCUCAAAACUAUGCCUAUUUGAUUAUAAGGCUUAAUUAUUAUAGUUUAUCAUUUCCUAGCAUAUAUAGUUCUUAGCAUCUAAGUAUUUGUUAUAUAAGAAUUUUUCUCAUUUUUCAAGCUUGCAUUUUGUUUAGAAAUUUUUUGAGUUUUUUACAAUCAUUUUGAAAAUGUCAACUCAUAAUUAUAUACAUUUUAGUUCUAUAAGGACUAAAAUCACUUAACAUCAUGGUAAUACUAUUUAAGGUAAUUUGCUUUGAAUCAGAAUGAACUUAUAUACAACUUACGAUUUAUGGUAAUAAUAGAGAUCGAAUUUAAAAAUACAUAAGUUUUCAAUUAAAUAUUAAUAUAUUUAUGUUUCCUUCUUAUUUUUAAUCCUAAAACACAUUAAAUGUAUGCUCUUGAAUUCCUCCAUGUAAUGCGAUUUGAUAUAAUGAUAAAUCAACAAUUAUGAUUUAAUAAUAUGGUGCUUUGACUUUUGACAUUUAAGUAACACCGUCAAUAAAAGCUCCAUAUCUUUGCUUCAUGGAAGAACGUACAAAUGAUGUGAUUGAAUUACAUUUCAAUUAUGUUUGAUUCUUUGAAAAUACUCAAGAAAAAUAAAUAUUUAAAAAAAUAAUUUUCUCAUAUUUGAUUUUACUAUAAAAAAAAUACAUAAUUAAAAUUAGUAAUAAAUUUAAAUAAUUUUAAAUUACUUAAUCUUUAUAUAAAAAAGUUAAAUUAGUAAAACGAGUUUAAAACAUGAUAUAAAGGUAAUUUAUUGACUUUAAUUUUUUUUUUUUACUUCACUUUUUCUUUCCUUCUCUUUGAUGAGAUCAUCUUAGAUAAAUUGUUAAUUGAUUGCAGCAUAUUCAAUUGAAUUCGAUAGUCUAGGUAUCAUAAAUCAUACAUGUUGUGCACCAUUUACAGUAAAUGAACCGUCACAAACCAUACAUAGAGGAGAUGUUGAUUUCAUUAUAAAUCAUACGAUAAUUACAAAAGAUAUGAUAUUAACUUGCAGUAAAUUGCAACAUCGGCACUCUAAUGCUAGACAAAGUAACUAGACAAAGUAAGUCUAAUUAUUGCUAACUUUCCUCAUCUUUCUUGGGCCUUUUGGGUGCUUUUUGUGCAAAAGAGAAAAAGCUAUAACUAAAUUGCCAAUCCAUCACCGACGUUAUAGACUGAUGAAGAAUACCAAAGGGAGUGUUACGAAAUAAUGAGAAUAAAUAAUAAGAAAAAUAGAAUAAGAACACAUAGAUAUACGUGAAAAACUUUAGAUGGGAAAAAUCAUGAGAAAACGAGAAAAAGAUCCGUUAUGUCAAAAAUUGGUACAAAAUGGGAGAGUUGAAAGCGACUACAACAAAAGUAUAAUCAUCGUAACCCUAAAACUAUACAUCAUUAUUAUAUAUAUAUAUAUAUGUAUAUAUAUAUAUAUGCGAGAGUUGAGAACAACUAUGGGAUGAGGUCUAUCGACUCGAUCCCUUCACUACCCCCACAAAUCUCUCAAAAAAUCUCAUAAUUUUAACUUUACUACAUAUAUUGCAUCGCGAGCUUUUCGAAUUGAAUAAAAAAGAAUUUGGAAUCAUCAAACAGUAACAAAGGGAGUGAGAUCAUAACUUUGGAAGGAUUUUUUUUUUUUUUAAAUGUAGACUUGAAUGGUAAAUACUAAAAUGUGUUUGAGAGUGAUACUUGAAAGUAUUUUUAAUAUUUUUAAUAUUCGAAAAAUAAAAAAUUUUCAAAUAUUAAAAAUAUUUCCUAAAAUCAAUAUCAAAAACCAUUUUACAAAAUCAGUAUCAAACUAUCAAACAUAAUUUGAAUUUAAAUAGAGACAAGAACAACAUUGACUCUUGACUCACCAAACCAGUCCUAGUUCACUUAUUGAAUGAAAAGAAAAUAAUUAAAAAUAAAUAACAGCAUCCAUUCUACCAUGUUAUGAAGAGUAAAAGACAAUGGAGAUUUUAACUUUGUUGCCUUAAAAGUCAUGCCCCCUUUCAUGAGUAUAUAUAAUAAAAUAUAUUCGUUUGCAUCUCUUGAAUGCAAAUAAUUUGAUAAUUUUUUUAUAAUUAAUUUAUGAAGAUAACAAUUUGAUAAUUAGACAAUUAUGUUGAUAUUUUGACAUUAUUAUCAAUUUACCAAAUAAGAUUGUUUUUCACCCAACAAUAAUUUACUUAGAAUAAUAAAUAAAUUAAAUUAGCUAACGUAACCAAAGCAUUUGAUUAAAAAUUGGUUUUCAUUUACAAAGAUAAGUUGAAAAUUAAUUUUAAUUUGAUUUAAUUAGGAAAUUAAUUUUUUGCUUGUUAAGUUUGUUUUAAUUUGUAAAUUCAUGUAAAUAAAAAAAAGGAUAAAAAGAUAAUUUUCAUGUGAAAAUUCAUUUAAUUUGAAAAUAAAUGAUGUAAUGUGUUUCAUUGUCGGUUAGCAUUUUUCUUUUUUUCUUGUUUGUAUAACUUUUUAAAAUGUAAAAGAUAAUAAUAAAAUAAGAAAUAAUCAAUAAAUUAAAAAAAUAAAAUAAAUGAUCUCACUAAAAAUGUUUUUUUACCUUAUGUCAUAUGACUUGGAUUAUUUUUUUUCUCUUUUCAGUAAAACAAACUUUUAAUAUAAAUAAAAAAAUAAAAUAGGACAUAGAGGAAAAUAGCUAAAGAGUAUAAAAAAAAUUCAAAAUAAUGCACUAAAAAUGGAAAGAGAAUAUGGUGAGUAGUUGAAUAAUAAUAAAUAAAAAAAAGUCAAAAAAGCUUCAAUACUCUUUGAAUCCACUGUUAGUGAAUGCCAAAAGGCAUACAUCAUACACGCAACUAGAAAUAAAAUGGUAAAAUAUAAAGAAAAGAGUCAGAAAAAGCACGAAGACUACAAUUAAUAAUCGUGGCAGGACUUCGACUCUCGUGAACCCCCCACUGUCACUCAAUGCUAUAGGGUUACAGGCUUGGAGCCAAUCAAAGAUAAUUGAGACAGAAGAACCAGACAUCCUCAACACCAUCGUCUCAGACUCUCAGCAUUCAAAGACCCCUUUGUAUUUUCUUCUUCCAAAUUCUGUUCUUGUAAUUUUGUUACAAUCCAACCAUGGCUUCCACUAGCAAUCCCAAGAGACCCUCUUCUUCUUCUAAUUCUAAAUGGAGGUACGAUGUGGUCUUGAGUUUCAGAGGCGAGGAUACCCGCAACAACUUUACUAGUCAUCUCUACAAGGCUUUGGAUCAUGCCAACAUUGAAACCUUUAUAGAUGAUGAAGGACUUCCAAGGGGAGAAGAGAUUGCGCCCGAGCUCCUAAAAGCUAUUGAAGGAUCAAGGAUUGCCCUUAUUGUCUUCUCGAAAACCUAUGCUCAUUCCAAGUGGUGCUUGGAUGAACUCGUCAAGAUCAUGGAGUGCGAGAAAGAAAAGGGACAACAGGUUUUUCCUAUUUUCUAUCAUGUAGAGCCGUCUGAAGUCAGGAACCAGACUGGGAUUUAUGGAGAAGCAUUUAACAAUCACGAAAGAAAUGCAGACGAGGAGAAGAAGAAGAAGAAGAUAGAGCAGUGGCGGACUGCCUUAAGGAAAGCUGGUAAUUUGAGUGGAUUUCCUCUGCAGGAUAGGUAAUCCCUACUUCACUUUUUCCAUUCCCAAUUUUCUGUCAGUUUAUUUUCAUUCUUGUUAAUAAAUAAAAUAUUUAUGAUUACAUUUAUCAAUCAAAAUCCAUUUUUAAGUAGUAGACAUUAAUAUGUUCGAUUUCUUGGAAAGUAAUAAGAAAGAGUAAAAAAAAAAAAAAAAAAGAUUUUCUCACAUUUAAUUUAUUAUUAAAAUUAUAAAAGGAAAUCAAAUAUAAUUAAAAUAUAUCAGAAAAAAUUAUAUUUGCCCAGCAGGUGGAAAUGCCAAGUUUUGAAUUGUUAAAAAUCUUUAAGAUUCCAAAAUAUUCUUCCUUUCUAAUCGAUCCAUCUUAGCCAUAAUUUCUAUCAGUUAAAAAAAAUGGUAGUCUGUCAAAUAAAUUGUUAAAAUUGGUUAUUUAUAUGCCUUGUAAAUUUGGAGAUAAUCUGAGAUGAUUAUUUAAAAUAUUGUAAUACUACCCUAAAUUUUUUUGGACCCUCUUAUGGGACAAAAAACUUAGUUAUUGCACCCUUAACCUUUUUCAAUUUUAGAGGAAUUUUCCAUUACUUAAAUAAUUUUCUCUUCUUCUCUGUGCACUACAUGAGUUUACAUUUCUUCUUUACUUAAUAUUGUUUGUUCCUCUAUAUUUGCAAGUUGAUUAUUAAAUUUAUUUACCUUUUAAUCUAAUGUUUGUAUCUCGUUUUAUUCUAAUUAUCCCAUGACUCUUCUUAAGACCUUGUCUUUCACGUUGAAUCAUCUAAUGCUAAACUUAUUCCCUUACUAUUCUACUUUGUGUACUCAUGGGAUUAAUGUAUUGCAAUCAAAAUUAUUUUUUUUAAUCUCUUUUUCUCUUGUAUGUUCUACAUUCCUCUAUACCUCACAAAUAAAAGCAAGUAACCUUACAGCUUGUUUGACAAUAUAUUUGCAACUAAUGUUCAAAAAAUAGUUUUCCCCAACACAAUGUUGAAAAUAAUGAACAAAAUUUUAUUUGAAAAUUCAAAUAUGAAGAACGACUUUCUCGACUUAUUAACUAUGAAGGUGCUAUAAAUUUUUGUACAACAUAACAAUUCUCUAAGUAUUAUCUAUAUUUUCAAUUCUUUAUCACAAUACUCUAUAAGAAAAUACCUAAAAACAUUUCAAAUAUGCUCUUAAAAAUGAACUUGUUUACCAAACAAAUUUUUGAAAAUUAUUUUUAAUAAAAGAAAAAAUUAAAAAUAUAAUCAAGUGACAUGAAAUAUGGGAUGAAAAAUAAUAAGUUCUGUAUAUUAGAUUGACUAUACACACAGUUUAUAUUGGAUAUUACAAGAGAAGAAAUAAGAAACAAGAGACAUAAUAGAAAACUAACUUAUUCAUAAACUAACUUAUUCCUAAAUCAUAAAACUAUCUAUUUACAAAAAUAAAAAACUAAUAUAAUAUGAAAAUAAUUCUCCUAUUCUAUUUACAGCUCAAUUACAACCUAUUUACAGCUCAACACUCCCCCUCAAGCUAAGGAAUAGAUGUCUUCCAUUCCAAGCUUGAAUACAAGAUCGUGAAACAUUGAACUGUUCAGCCCUUUUGUUAGGAUAUCAACUAAUUGAUGUUUUGAUGGAACAUAGGACAUACACACUACUCCUUCCUCCAAUUUUUCUUUGAUAAAAUGCCUAUUAAUCUCAAUAUGUUUUGUCCUAUUGUGUUGUAUAGGGUUAUGAGCAAUAUUGAUAGCUGACUUGUUGUCACAAUAGAGCUUCAUAUGACCAUCCCACUUGAUUCUCAAAUCAUCUAGAAUAAUCUUCAGUCAAAGUAGUUCAUACAACCCUUGAGCAAUGUCCCUAAACUCUGAUUUUGCAGACGACCUUGCUACCACAUUCUGCUUUUUACUUUUCCAUGUUACCAGAUUACCUCGAGGAAAAGUACAAUACCCUAUAGUUGAUCUUCGAUCCACUAGGGAACCUGCAUAGUCAACGUCAGUAUAUGCUUCUAGAGUAAGAGUAUUGUUCUUUUUGAACAAAAUUCCUUUCCCGGGGUUGCCUUUCAAGUAAUGCAGCACCCUGUAAGCAACUUGAAGAUGAGGUUCUCUUGGAUCAUGCAUGAAUUGACUGAUCACGCUCACCGAGUAGGCGAUGUCUGGCAAGUGUGAGCAAGGUAUAUGAGCCUACCAACUAGCCUUUGGUACAUUCUUUUAUCCACCACUGGUUCUUCUUUAGCUUCUCCCAACUUGUGAUUUGGAUCCAUUGGGGUAGAGACUAGUUUACACCCAAUCUUCCUUGUUUCUGUCAAUAAAUUAGUCACAUACUUUUGUUGAUAGAUGAAGAUCUCUUGUGUGGAAUAUGCCACCUCAAUAUUGAGGAAGUGCUUUACUUUCCCUAGUUCCUUUAUCUCAAACUCUGUUGCUAAUCUUUGCUUCACUUCAUGCUUUUCUCUCUCAUCAUUUCCAGUCAUUAUGAUGUCGUCAACAUAGACUAGAAAAGCAAUUACUCCCCCUGUAGCCGAGUGCUUAAUGAAGAGAGUGUGGUCACCUUGGCUUUGCUUGUACCCAUACUCUUUCAUGACUUUUUCAAAUCUCUCAAACCAAGCCCUAGGAGAUUGUUUUAGCCUAUAAAGGGCCUUUUUCAGCCUACACACCUUGUUACCUAUGUUUCCCUCAAAUCUUGGUGGGAUGUUCAUGUAAAUCUCUUCAUCUAAAUCACCAUGAAGAAAUGCAUUCUUAACAUCAUACUAUAGGAGUUGCCAAUUGUAGUGGGUAGCCAAGGACAGUAGGAUUCUUAUAGUAUUCAUUUUUGCAACUGGAGCAAAAGCCUCCUGAUAAUCAACUCCAUAAGUUUGAGUGUACCAUUUGGCUACCAAUCUUGCUUUAUGUCUCUCAAGAGAUCCAUCAGUCUUAUAUUUCAGCGUGAAAAUCCACUUGCAAUUAACAAUGUUUUUCCCUUUCGUCUUUCAACAAUCUCCCAUGUUUUAUUAUUUUCUAAUGCAUUCAUCUCCUCUCUCAUAGCAUCCUUCCAUUCCCUUUUUGUCAAUACCUCAGAAACAGUGUUAGAGAUGAUAGUGGUGUUUAAACUCACAAUGAAAUUCUUGUGGGCUAGUGAUAGGUGCUUAAGAGACACAUAGUGUGAUAGUGGAUAGAGUGGUUAAUUAGUGCAUUAUCCGGUGCCUUUUCUGACAGCAAUGAGAAGGUCUAGGUCUAGGUUGUCUGUUGAGUCAAUGGAAGUUUCACCAAGUUGUGUAUGUAAAGGUGGGUCUAAUCUUACCGUGAUUUCAUUCCUAGGAUUUGAGUUGGAUUCUUGGACCUGCUAUUGUUCUGGAAUGACCUUUUCCCUUUAAUACAUCUUAGGAAACUGUGGAAAAUUACAAGUGACACUGGUUGGAAUAGGGAAUGACACGGGUUUAGUGGUAAAAUUGGGUGACUCAGGUGUGAUUAGUUCGGAUGACUCAAGUUCUUCAUCACCAUGGGUUGAGACAUGAGGAAGGUUAAGAGGUUCAAAGGAGUCACAAGGACUAUCCUCCAUCAUUGAAAUCUCCCCCUAAAUAGAGGACUUGGGAAAAAAGGUUUAUUUUCUGUGAAGGUGACAACUGCAGAGAUGUAAAAUUUUCUGGCUAAGGGAUUGUAACACUUGUAUCCUUUUUGAGUAGAUGAGUAAACCAAGGAAGACACAUUUUAUGGCUCGGGGGUCUAGCUUGUCUCUAUGAUGGUUGUGGACAUGAACAAAUGCAAUGCAUCAAAAUACACUAGGAGUGAGCCCAUAUGAGGUUCUAAAGUGUGGAUAGAAACUCUUAAGUAUCUCUACGGGGCUUUUGUUGUCUAACACUUGUGAGAGAAUUCUAUUUAUCAUGUAUGUGGCAGUAAGAACAGCUUCCCCCCAAUAGGACUUAGGAACAUUCCCUUGAAAGAGUAAGGCUCGGGUUGUGUUGAGUAAAUGCCCAUUUUUUCUCUCGGGUAUCCCAUUUUGUUGGGGUGUGUUAACACAUGAUGAGUCAUGGAGAAUGCCCUGUGAUUGAAAAUUGGGUGACAAAGUAUGGUUAAAGUAAUCUCUAGCAUUGUCUGUCUUAAAACUUUUUAUUUUAACCCCAAAUUGGUUUUGAACCAUUGAGUGGAAAUUAGGUAUAACAAUGCUAACAUCAGAUUUUUGUUUAAGAAGAAAGAUCCAUGUAAUCUGAGUGCAGUCAUCAAUUAAGGAUACAAACCAACGAGCCCCAUAAACAUUAGGUAUAGUCGAAGGACCCCAUAUGUCACUAAGAAUCAAAUGAAAAGGAUGAGAACUUCUUUUAUUGCUAAUAGGAAAAAAUUCACGAGUAUGUUUUGUCAAUUCACAAGUUUUGUAAUGAAACUUAGAAAUAUCUAAUCCUUGAAACAAAUGAGGAAACAUGACCUUUAAAACCCUAAAAGAUGGAUGACCUAGACGUAGGUGAUACAACCAAAUGGUAUCUUUAUUUAAGGAACUCUAAAAAGACACACAAAUUAUUACUAGUUUUCUGAGAUGAUUCAAGGUGAUAAAGACCGCUCAUUUCCUUAGCAAGUCCAAUCCUCCUUCCCGAGCCUUGUUCCUGAAAAACACAAUAAGAAUGGAAAAAAAUAGCAGAACAUUUAAGAUCAUGGGUAAGCUUUUGAAUGGAAACAAGGUUGGCCGACAAUUUUGGUACAUGGAGGACAUUUUUAAGAAUAAGGGUAGGUGUGAUAUAUAUGUCUCUGAAACCUGCAACGGUAACUAAAAAGCCAUUGGCCAUUGCAAUUUUCUUGUUACUUGGGUUUGAGGUAUAGGUAUGGAAAAGUUGAGAUUUGGAGGUCAUAUGGUCUGUGGCACCGAAGUCUAUUAUCCAAUAGUCAUUAUAAACCUUGUGUGAGGCAUUUAUGCAAAAUGAGAGUGAAGGUGUACCUGAAUUUUCCAACAUCUUCCACGAAAAAAAAAACCUGAUCUCUUGGGAAUUAAGGUAGAUCGCGAAACAAAAAAACCAGCAACAAUGAAGGUUGGUAAAAGAACACGUGAAUAAAAAAAAUCUAACUAUGAAGGCCAGAAAAAUGGCGAUGAAGGCCAGAAUGAUGCCCAGGUCUUAAAAACCUACUGCUCUGAUACCAUGACACGAAAUGUGGGAUGAAAAAUAAUAAGUUUUGUAUAUUAGAUUGACUAUAUACAUAGUUUAUAUUGGAUAUUAUAAGAGAAGAAAUAGGAAACAAGAGACAUAAUAGGAAACUAACUUAUUCCUAAAUCAUAAAACUAUCUAUUUACAAAAAUAGGAAACUAACAUAAUAGGAAAAUAAUUCUCCUAUUCUAUUUACAGCUCAAUUACAACCUAUUUAUAGCUCAACAUUAAGUUAUAAAACUAUUUUAUAUUCUAAAGAAAAAAAAAAUCUAUUUUCAAAAACAAUAUCUAUAUAAGCAUUUUUCUUUUAAGUAUGAUUUUAAAAUGUUUUUCCAUGAGUCUAAUUGUUGCUAGGAUUUUGACCAAUAAACAAAUAUGUGUGACUUUCCUCGUCAUUGUAAUUUAUAUUUGGGAAAAAAAUGGGGAUUUCAUCAAAAUAUGAAACUUAUGUAACAAUUAUUAGCAACCUAAAUAUAAAUAAAACUAAAACGGAGAAUUUACUUGUUUAUGGAAUAAAUAGUUGAAAAUUUUAUAAGCAUUGAGGAUGGUCAUAAAUCAUGUUGUAAUUAAUAAAAGCAUUUCUAGGUUAUGGAACUUGGGUGGCAAAUUGGUAGAUUUCUAGCCAAACUAGUAUUUGUCUCUAUAAUAAAAUCUCUUAUCAUAAAGGGUAAUGAUACUUUAGAAAGGUCAACUUCAAAUUGGGCCUUUAGAAGCAAUUAAGAUAUUUACAUUAUUUUAUUGCAUGUAUACUUGACAUGACAUAAUGAAAUUUUAUUUAAACAUGCAAUUCAACACAUUUUUAAUUUACAUUCUAUUUGACCUUAAUUUAAUGGCACCGAACGAAACUAAGAAUCAUUCUAUAAUUUCCAUUUACUUCAUCUUUGUUUUCUUUGACAAUUGAUUGUAGCUCACUGCAUGUUUUAUUGUACUUUAUAAUGGACAGAUUUGAGUCAGAGUUUAUUCAAGAAAUCAUUGGUGAGAUUCGAAGAUUAACUCCUAAGUUGGUACAUGUUGGUGAGAACAUAGUUGGAAUGGAUGAAAAUUUGAAAGAGGUGGAGUUAUUGAUAAACGCCCAAUCAAAUGGAGUGAGCAUGGUUGGGAUUUAUGGGAUUGGUGGGAUUGGUAAAACUACCAUUGCCAAGGUUGUUUACAAUGAUAUGUUAGAUCAAUUUCAACGUCACAGCUUUCUUGAAAAUGUGAGGGAGAAAUCUAAAGAUGAUCAUGGUUUGCUUGAAUUACAAAAAAAACUUCUUUGUGAUAUCCUAAUGGAGAAAAAUCUGAAGUUAAGAAAUAUUAAUGACGGUAUCAAAAUGGUAAAGAGGAAGUGUCGCAUUGAAAAGGUUCUCAUUGUUCUUGAUGAUGUAGAUUGUCAAAAACAAUUAAAAUUCUUAGCUCCUAAUUCUGAAUGUUUUCAUCAAGGAAGCAUAAUCAUCGUGACCACGAGAAAUAAACGUUGCCUAGAUGUACAUAAGUCAUAUUCAUCAUAUGAGGCUAAGGGAUUAGCACACACGCAAGCUAAGGAACUCUUUUGUUGGAAUGCCUUUCAGCAAGACCAUCCCGAGUAUGAGGACCUCUCUAAUUGUAUACUAGAUUAUGCUAAAGGCCUUCCAUUGGCUCUUGUAGUUUUGGGUUCUUUUCUCUAUCAAAGGGAUGUGGAUUACUGGGAAAGCACACUGCAUAAACUAAAAACAAACCCUCUUGAGGAUAUUCAAAAGGUACUCCAGAUAAGUUAUGAUGGACUAGAUAAUAAAUGGAAGGAGUUGUUUCUUGAUAUUGCAUGUUUCUUCAGAAAUGAGGAUAAAAAAGUUGUUACAAGAAUACUAGAAGGUUGCAAAUUCCAUCCUAAGUCUGGACUAACGGUUCUUCAUGAGAGGUGUCUUAUUUCUAUAACAGACGACACCAUAAGGAUGCAUGACUUGUUACAAGAAAUGGGUUGGGCAAUUGUUCGCCAAAAUUUUCCAGAACAUCCUGAAGAAUGGAGCAGAUUGUGGGAAUUACAGGAUAUUAAAAGUGUUUUACCACAAAAUAAGGUAGGAGAAAAAUACAUGAACUUACUUGAGAUCUAAAGACAUAUAAAAGAUUCAACAAGAAUUAUUUUUAUUAUUAUUAUAGUUUUGAGUAUCUUAUCUAUAUAAUUUUAGUGAAUCCCUAUGCAUCUUAUAUUGCUUAUUCUCAAUGCUUGUUUUCAGGGGACAAAAAACAUAGAGGGGAUAUCCAUAAAUCGGUCUUGGGAUAGUAAAAAACGUAUACAACUUACUGCUGAAGCUUUCAGAAAGAUGAAUCGACUUAGAUUGCUCAAAGUUAAAGGCGAUAUGGUGCAGCUUUCCUAAGACUUUGAAUUGCCUUGUCAUGAUUUAGUAUAUUUUCAUUGGGAUAACUACCCUUUGGAAUAUUUGCCAUCAAAUUUUCAUGUAGAAAAUCCUGUUGAACUUAACCUCUGGUACAGCAACAUAGAACAUCUUUGGGAAGGAAACAUGGUAUUGCUAUUAUUUAGUUAUAUUUUUGCUCUAGACUAAUUUUAAAGUCUUUUGAAGUUUACUUAUUGAAACGAAUUUUCUUCUGUUACAGCCUGCUAAAAAGUUAAAAGUCACUGAUCUUAGUUAUUCCAGGCAUCUGGUUGACAUUUCAAACAUCUCAAGUAUGCAAAAUUUGGAGACUCUAAUUCUAAAAGGUUGUACAAGGUUACUUAAGUGUUUCACCCAUGCUUAAUGUUAUUAUUAGUCAUGAACUAACUGUUUUCUUGAAUAUAAUAGGAUGCAAGAGACUUGAGAGUCUUCCAAGGAACUUUCAUAAGCUGGAAUGCCUUCAAACACUCUCUUGUGAUGGCUGUUCAAACUUAAAAGUUUUCCGAAGAUCAAGGAAGAAAUGAGAAGUCUAAGAAAGCUUAAUUUAAGUCAUACAAGUAUAAUGGAAUUAACAUCAUCAAUUAGGCAUCUAAAUGGGCUUGAAGAGUUGGACUUAAGUAAUUGCAAAAACCUUUUGAGUCUUCCGGACAGUAUUGGUAGUUUGAACUCUCUUCAAACUCUCGAUCUAGUUGAGUGUUCAAAACUAGUGGGUUUUACAAAUAUCAAUAUUGGAAGUCUAAAAGCUCUUGAAUAUUUGGAUUUGUCAUGGUGUGAGAACCUUGAGAGUCUUCCAAAUAGUAUUGGUAGUUUGAGCUCUCUUCAAACUCUUUUAUUGAUAGGGUGUUCAAAAUUGAAGGGCUUUCCAGAUAUCAAUUUUGGAAGUCUAAAAGCUCUUGAAUUGUUAGAUUUCUCACACUGCAGAAACCUUGAGAGUCUUCCUGUGAGCAUUUACAAUUUGAGCUCUCUCAAAACUUUGGGGAUUACAAAUUGUCCAAAACUCGAGGAAAUGUUAGAGAUUAAAUUAGGGGUUGAUUGGCCAUUUUCACCUCUAACCUGUCACAUUUCAAAUUCAGCAAUAACCUGGUAUGAUGACUGGCAUGACUGCUUUUCCUCAUUAGAAGCAUUAAACCCACAGUGCCCCCUGUCAUCACUGGUAGAAUUAUCUGUAAGAAAGUUUUAUGGCAUGGAAGAAGACAUCCUCAGUGGCAGUUUCCACCUAUCCUCAUUGCAAAUAUUAUCUCUAGGGAACUUCCCUAGCGUGGCAGAAGGAAUCCUCGAUAAGAUUUUCCAUCUAUCCUCGUUGGUAAAAUUAUCUCUUACUAAAUGCAAGCCAACGGAAGAAGGAAUCCCUGGUGAUAUUUGGAACCUAUCUCCACUGCAACAAUUAUCUCUACGUGACUGCAAUCUAAUGGAAGGAAAGAUCCUCAAUCAUAUUUGCCAUCUAACAUCCUUGGAAGAAUUAUAUCUGGGUUGGAACCAUUUUAGUAGCAUACCUGCUGGCAUCAGUCGACUUUCUAAUCUAAAGGCCCUUGACUUGAGUCAUUGCAAGAACCUUCAACAAAUUCCAGAGCUUCCAUCAAGUCUACGAUUUUUAGAUGCGCACUGUUCGGAUGGUAUUUCAUCAAGCCCCUCGCUUCUACCUAUUCAUUCUAUGGUCAAUUGCUUCAAAUCAGAAAUUGAGGUAUGAUUCUCAUGCCACGUUCCUCUUUCUUUUGUACCCAUUGAAUUUACAUGGUGCUUUUGUGCAGGACCGCAAGGUUAUUAAUCAUUAUUCUUACUUCUGGGGCAAUGGAAUUGGUAUUGUUAUUCCUAGAAGUAGUGGAAUUCUAGAGUGGAUAACAUAUCGGAAUAUGGGAAGGAAUGAAGUAACAGUAGAGCUCCCUCCGAAUUGGUAUAAAAAUGAUGACUUGUGGGGAUUUGCUUUAUGCUGUGUUUAUGUUGCACCUGCCUAUGAAUCUCAGUAUGAAUUAGGUCAUAUAUCUAAGGAUGACGCUGAACUUGAAGAUGAAGGACCAGGGUUCUGUUGUGAUUUGAGUAUCGAAGGAAAUAAUCAAUCAGGAGACGUGGGUUUUUUCCUUCUUUAUUCUUGCUGUGUUAAAUAUGAUGUGUCAGAUAUGCAGUGGGUGAUAUGUUAUCCCAAGUUAGCUAUUGAGGAAAGUUAUCACACCAAUCAAUGGACACACUUCAAGGCUUCAUUUGGUGGUGCCCAAGUGGAAGAGUGCGGAAUCCGUCUUGUAUACACAGAAGAUUAUGAACAGAAGCAUCCAGCAAUGGCACAAGGCAGUACUUCUCAUGGGAAUUUUGGUGAGCAUGGAUCGGUAAGAGAAGAUACUGAUAGUAAGCUCACAAUAAAAGGAAUCCCACAGAACAGAGCCCAAGAGAGGAGUCACACCAUAAAAGAUCCAUAGAAACCCAAGACUGAUCCCAAGUAUUAGGCUCAACCACACUUGCAUCACUAAUGCUAUCUUUACUGGUAAUUCAUCUUCCUUUCUCUUUCUAAUUCAAAGGUCAGAAUUUUUUUUUAUCGUGUUUCUCCUUUUUAUUUGUCUUUUUCCCCAAGACAAACAAAACUUUGAGGCUAUCACCCAUGGGCGCAAACUUCAAUGGUACACCUCCCAAGUUUGUUUUUCUCUCUCUCCAACCGUCUUUCCCUAGAUUUUUCUGCAUUUUCUUCAAACCCAUAUUUCCAUAUGAAAUUCAAUUACAUUCGAGCAUUUCAAUCUCUGUAGCUACUGUCUGAAUCAUUUAUAGGGUUUCUUUUUUCUGGAAGUUUGUAAUGUUAUUGAUUUAAGACUUCAUGUUUGGGGAUGUUUUGGGUGGCUUGUUCACUGGUAUUAAUUGUGAUAAUUGCAGCUCUGGUGCUUUCAAUGACUUUGACAAUAGUCGAAACUAUGUUGAAUGCUUGUACCAAGGGAAUGGACUUCAGUUGCUCUAGGGUUAGUGCUAUAACAUCAGUAUUCACUCUUCAAGAAUGUAUAUAGUUGUUGUUUUGGAAUUUUGAAAUUACUUAGCAUCAGACAAUUUCUAACUCGGGAUUUGGAUUGGGAACCAUAAGUUAUCAUUAGAGAGUGUAUGAGAAGGAAUUUUAGAGUGAGAUGGGUGAUGCAUGUUGAGGGAUGAAAGAGGGAUGUAUCUCACCCUAGAGUUCUUUGGAAUAAUUAUAGGAUUUUGUAAGUAACUUUGGACUUACUUGCAAUGUUCUGGAUUUGUGAAUAAUUUAUAGAAUGCAUUGGGUUUUUUUUUUUUGUUUUUUUUUUUGGUCCAUAAGAAACUAAAAGAACUUUGAGAGUGAAUAAUGUAUGACUGUACUCUUCUCUAUCUCUCUGGUCAUAGCACACGUAUGAUUUGGUACUUUUUUGCAGGCUUCAACAGCAGCAAAGCAUCUGGUGGCUUGCAGUACUAAUCUUACAUUAUAUUCUCUGUUUUGCAAUCAUUUGGUACUUUUUGUCCCAACCAAGGAUAGCUCUGUGCAACAGUCUCGACUGUGGAACAAGUAAAACAAAUGGUACCUGCUGAAGCUGAGAGGGCAGAUAAUAAAUUGGUGCGGAAGGUGGUCAACCAAAAGAAUCAGACAGCAAAAACUAAAAAAGCCGAUGAAGCCUGCUACUGAAGCAGUCUCAGCACCUGUUUCUAGGAGGGGUGAGAUUGAAGUGACUGAAGAAAAGGAGCGUGAGCAAACAAAGAAGGAAGAGGAGUUGGCCAGGAAGGUAGAGGAAUUGAGAAGUGAAGAGGAAGCAGCCAUGUUGAAGGAGAAAAGUCUGUUGGAGGAGAAAGCCAACGUUAAGAAGGCAUUGGAAAGGAAACAAGGAACUGCAGAAAAGGCCAAUUUCUCUGUGAGUGCUGCCACCUUUUCGUGAUACAGCCAUAAUAAUGGAUGUUAAAAGCAGUCUAACUCUACAUGGCGUUUAUUUUCCCCAGCCAUAGAUUGGAAUCUGCCAGUCUGACUCUCAUAAGAAAGAAAAUUUUCCAUCGAUCCUCGUAUGGAUUAUUGGAGAAGAUUUUAACAUGGAGUUCACAAGAGAGUUUCUAACACCCACUUAAAAGGACAUUUUAG
This 72422-nucleotide long non-coding RNA is filed under the name Vitis vinifera (wine grape). RNAcentral describes it as "long non-coding RNA (VVIN_LNC006288)". Lineage: Eukaryota; Viridiplantae; Streptophyta; Magnoliopsida; Vitales; Vitaceae. The record is from RNAcentral.